This 69456-nucleotide long non-coding RNA is filed under the name Fragaria vesca (wild strawberry). RNAcentral describes it as "long non-coding RNA (FVES_LNC001020)". The record is from RNAcentral. Lineage: Eukaryota; Viridiplantae; Streptophyta; Magnoliopsida; Rosales; Rosaceae.
UCAUAUAUAUAUAUAUAUAUAUAUAUAUAUAUCGNNNNNNNNNNNNNNNNNNNNUUGGUGAUCGUUAAGGCUUUCAAAAGUUCAAUUUAGUUUUAAUGACCUUCAACGGUUUUAGUUUGACAUAAGCUGGACCGUUCAAAAUCAUUAAAACUAAAUCAAACUUUUGAAAGUCUUAACGAUCACCAAAUCAUAUGAAAUUUUGUAGAGGUGAUCUACUCAUAUAGACCUAAGAUAUGAACGGUGGAGAUGUAAAAAUUCAAUUGGAAAGUGGUGUAAUGCCCUAUCCCUAGAAAGUGGCCAAAAAAUAGGGAUCCCUCAAUGGAAGGGGGCUGAUAUAUAUAUAUAUAUAUAUACAUAUAUACACUUCGGUUCAUAUUUCAUCAACCAAUCUUUCCUAACUAUGAUAAUGUUCUAGGACACCUUGUAAAUCCAUCCUAGAACAAAGAAAGUUGCUAAAGACAAACAUCAGUCUGCUUACUCAUCCAUCCACUGUUUGUGGGGCCAAUACCGCACAAUGCCCAAGAGACCGCGCAACAUGCAUGAUAUUGAUAUUACCAACUAAACCAAUUAAUUUUGUAAUAAGUUGUAAAGAAAUUACGUUCUAUUCUUUAAGUUUCCUUUAGCAAGAACAUCAUGAAUUGACAAGUCUUUGACAAAACAUACAAGCAAAAUACUAUCAGAAGCAUGUCAGUGCAGGACAAAAAGAAAAAUGGUUAGUCAGGUCUUACCAGCAAAUACGUGUACCAAAAUUUUCCAGAGAUUAUGGACAUGACUUGCACGAAGCUUGUAAUGUAGAUUACAUCAUGUAAAUAGCUGAACAGUAAGACAACCCAAAAAGUCAAGAUUUUACAACAAAUCAGAUUAAUGUGUGCGCAUAAGCCUGCGUGUGCAAUUUUAUUCGACUUUGUGUGUGUGAGUGUAAGUUGACUACAUAAGUUAAUAAGCUUGGUAUUAUAAACACAAUACAUAUUACAUUUCUAAAUUUUUUAAAGCACCUAGGUUGUUAACUAUUACACGUCAAUAAUGUAGCAUGAGAAAAGAAUGAAGUUCAUGGUCUCUACUAAUUUAUUUGAUAUCUAUCAGAUGAAACACUGUAUCCACGUGCCAAACAAUGAAUCUCUAGAAAAAUAAUAGCUACAGUGCUGAAUGUAAGAGAACUUUCAGUUAAGCACUUAUCAUACAUAAUCAACAGAAUAUGGUAAAGAGAUCAAAAUCCGUGGUCCUUUUUUUAUCUAAUGUAGCAGUGUAUGUGAAGAAUUUUAAAGCUCUUGUAAACUAUAAGAAAUCAUUGAUUGGAAGGACAUACCCACAAACUCCACCAGUGGACAUAUCAAAUCCACCGUCUAGAAGCUCACCAUCAUCAGAAUAAGAAGGUUUUGCCAUUUGGGUGAGUUGUUGAUAAGGAAUAUAAUAAGCUACAGAUGUCAGCAGCAAAGCAACCCAGUUUUUCCAGGUAAAAGUAGAAUGGAAGAUGAGCAUCCUUACUACCACAUAAAUCACCUACAUCAAGUCACCAACCGAGCAUCAACAUCACUCUGCUCACCAUAAGUUUUAACAUAUAUCACUUAUUUAUACUCAACCAAAGUCCCAAAGCUUACAUUGCAGGCCAGAAUCAAGCGACGAAUAUUAGCCAUGUGCCGAGCAUUCUCUUCCUUGCGCUUUUUUGCUCCUUGAUUUGCCAUCUCUCUCUACGCCUCUGGACUUCUCUACCAGAAUCUGACAAUGUAAUAGGAAAACAAUAUCAGAUGGACAAGCUUGACCCCUUAAACUAGGCAGGCUAUGGCUUAGCCCCAAAGCUUAUGAGUUAUGAGAAUAUUUUUUCCUUCAUGAAAUAGACCUUNNNNNNNNNNNNNNNNNNNNNNAAAAUAGAAAUCCGCACCAAACCAUGGUGUGGACGUCCGCAGUUAAGAAGGCCUGUAUAUAUAUAUAUAUAUAGAUAUAUAUAUAACCUGCUAAAUAAUACAAGUAAAUCUAUCCCCAUAAAAUGUCUAUUCAUAUGAUUAUACAAUGACUUAGUAAAACCAAUGGUAGUGUAUUAGAUUUUAACCAACUUGAGAAAGAAAGUAAAUAAAAAGCCCCUACACAGUUUCGGACAUGCUAAUGCAGAAACUAUAGCCGUCACUAUACAAGACAAGGUCAGCACAGAACAAUAGAUGACGAUUAUGGUAUAAUUCCUUCAAAAAGUAAAAUUUAGUUUCUAACAAAAGUAAUGAGAAAAAGUAAAAUUUAGUUUCUAACAUGAUACAGGAAUUUACACAAAGAUUGCAUGACCUCAGAGGUGGCAAAAUAACAUUUUCAGUACAAAAACACUACAGAAAAAGAUAUCCCAAAAACACAAUGCUACACCACAGCGGCUGCUAAGUUAGCAUCAAACGAAACCUAUAUUAUUUAGAUUCUCACAUAGAAAAUCUGAUGUGGCUCCCCAACCCCAAAGUCCUUUACAAGACUCAAGUCUUAACCGUUGGUGAUUUUUGAUUUUACAGAAAGAAAACUAAACCCUCCACAAUCCCGUGUGAGUUUUAUACACAGUUGAGUAACACAGAGAACUAGGUAAGUCCUUGAAACCAACUGAAUUGCCAUCAUAGGGAACCAACAAACAGAACAACUUCUCAUCACCAUAACUUCCAUAUUUCUCAAUCAAUUUAAGCGUGUAAUAUAUUGAUUUUAUACUACUCAAGAAGCCCAACAAGUCUGUGCAAACAGUUCACGAUUUAAGGACUAAUAAGGAUAUUUAAGUUACCAAUAACGAAAAUUUCGACCAAAAUUUAUAAGAAGAGAAAUCCAACCGAACCCAUUCAGUCAACCAAGCAUUCCUAGGAUUCAAAUUCUUAUCAAUAGAAAGUGAAAAUCUCAAUGGCAAACCAACAGCUCUAAGAAUAAUCGAGACAAAGAAAGAGGGAAAGAAAAUAAACGGUAAUCACUGGACUACCAAAUUUUGAAAGUUUUCUCACCUCUAACACCCUGCUCCAAAGACAAGCCUUCAACUUUUCUCCCUUUCUUCCAAAUCGCCGGAGCUCUCCCUAUCCCCUGAAGUAAAUCGGCAAAACAAAGGCUCCCAACAUCACUCAAAACCGCUCAUGGAGUUUUUUUUNUUNNNNNNNNNNNNNNNNNNNNCUCUCUCUCUCUCUCUCUCUCUCUCUCUCUCUCUCUCUCUCUCUCUCUCUCUCUCUCUCUCUCUCUCUCUCUCUCUCUCUCUCUCUCUCUCUCUCUUCGUCUUCCUCCUCCCUCUCUUCUUCGAUCUCGAAUAUCCGACCAUGGCGGCGUCUCAGGCCAACACCAGCUCGACGACGAUAGCUCGGCGCUGCUUGAUAGAUGAUGAGGAAGUAGGCUCAACCUCGACGUCGCCAGAUCGACGACGAAGCCUUAACCUCAACCUCGACGCCGUCGGUUCGACGACGAUGCCUCGACCUCGACGUCGUCGGAUCGACGACUACGCACCUUGACCUCGACGUCUAUUACGUCCAAUUCCAUCAAUGACAACUUCUGAUUUGACCUCGACGGGAUCUCUGAAACCAAAUGGCUCGCCGGCUCAUCCUCGUGGCUCGUCUGGUCCUUGACGGCUAUGAUCGCCUUCCGCCGGCGAUUCGAGAUCCGUAUAGCUUAGUCGCCGCUGCUGACUCGAUGACAAGUCCUGGAUGACGCCGCUUCGAAGAUGUCGCUCUUAUUGGAGGUGACUGUUAUGGUAAAAUUCUAAGUGUAAAUUUGCUACAAUUUGUUUCUUUGGUUUUGAGAAAAUAUAAACAAAGAUUAGGAUGAUGUUUUUUGUUAAUUUGAUAGUGAGUGAGAAAUCAUGCACAUAAUCAUGUUAUGAUAAUGUAGGAGAUGAAUGGAACGAGAUUAAUAAGUAUGUUUCGGCCUCAUUGUAUGAUAGCAUAUUUUGAACAAUGCGAUAGUACAUUUUCAUCAUUGUGAUAGUAUAUUGUCCCCACUAUGAUUGUCUAUUUUUGACACAUUGGUAAUAGCUUUCAUUAUGCUUGGUAGUAGAUUUUGUUGCCGAAAACAUUAGCUAUUGGUUUUGUUUGGAGGUAAUAGUUUUUGUUGAUGGUGGUAGUAGUUUUUGUUGAUGGUGGUAGAAGCUUUUGUUACUUGCGGUAGCGGUAGUAGUUUUUGUUGCUGAUGACAAUAUCUUUUGUGACUUUGUCAGAGGUCAUUGGAAAUCUCACUGUAGUAACUUUUGUGGCUGGGGGUAGUAGCUUUUAUAGUUAGUGAUAGUAGCUUUUUUUGUUGGUGACAGUAACUUUUGUUCUGCUUGGUAGUAGUUUUUCAUAUGCUCGGUAGUAUCUUUUAUAAGUGGUGAUAGUAGCUUUUGUUCUAUCUUGUAGUAGUUUUUCAUUUGCUCGGUAAUAUCUUUAAUAGCUAGUUAUAGUAGCUUUUUUUGUUGGUGACAGUAGUUUUUCAUAUGCUCGGUAGUAUCUUUUAUAGCUGGUGACAAUAUCUUUUGUGACCUCCGGAGGUCAUUGAAAUCUCAACAUAGUAGUUUUUGUUAUGUUCAAUAGUAUUUUUUGUUGCUGGCAAUAGUAUCUUUUGUGACCUCGCCGGAGGUUGCCGGAAAUCACACCAUAGUAGCUUUUAUAGCCGGUGGUAGUAGCUUUUAUAGCCUGUGGUAGUAGCUUUUGUUGCUGGUGACAGUAUCUUUUGCAAUCGUCAGUAACAUUGUCGGAGGUCGGCAGGAAACUUUGUCUGCAGUCGGCUGGAAACUUUGUCGGAGAUCGGCCGGAGACCCGCCGGAGGUUGGCCGGAGAUCUCGCUUGAGGUUGGCCGGAGAUGAUAGUAGGUGUUGACUUUUUACAUUAGUGGCAUUUUUGUAAAUAUAAAAAAGAAAAUCUUUUUUUUUGUUGGAUGGCAGUCUGUAAUUAUGUUGAACUUUAAUACCUAAUACAAAACCUUAUUUAGGCUUGGGUGGACUUAUGUGAGUAAAAAUGUUGGGGUGGACCUAUGUGGGAAAAAAUGUCUCAAAAUGGACUUAUAUAUAAUUAGCCCAAAAUUAAACCUCCCCUCUUUGUAAAGGUACGUGAGUUAUUUAAUAAAAAGUUAAAAAAAAGAGAAAUUAUAAAUACACACCUCUAAUCUCUUAAUACACACCUCUAUUAUUUUAUAUUUCAGAUCAUAUUUAUAUGUAUGUUUAAUUACAAAAACAUUCAUCAAUUACUAAGGAAAAAAAGAAAGAAAAAAAAACUUCAUCUUCCCUAAAACAUAGCUCUCUUCACUAUUACUAUGCAUCAAAAGAAAAGAAAUAAAAAAACCUCUUCUCCAAAAUUCAUCACCUGAAUUUCGACUACUGUCGUAAUCACAUGUACUAUUUGCUGAUUCGUUUGAUUUUUUUUUUAUCAACUUUAGUUUUUAUCUUGCAGACUAAAAACUAGUUUUUAUGCUAUUGUAAUUCUAUAAGUUUCUUAACUUUGAAAAAAUUAUAUAUGCUCAAUAUUUUAUUUUUUUUCAAAUUCUAACUGAUUAAUGUCGUAUUAGAGAUUUGGAGUUCGAAUAUAAUAUUAUUAUUUUGAUUAUAAAUUGAAAAUAUGAAGAAAAAAAUUUCUAACCUGAUCAAAAAACUAACAGAAAAUAAAAGAGAAUACGUAAAGAGAGUUGUGAAUAGUAAAUAUAUAAUAAUUAUAUUAAAUAACAGAUUAUUAUUAGUUUUAGAUACUGAGGGUAUUUUAGGCAGUUUGAGAUGUGUAUUUAGUAUAAUAUUGAAAUGAAAAACUAGAUAGGUAGUGUAUUAAGUAAGGGGUAUGUAUUAAGAGAUUAGGGGUGUGUAUUUAAAAUUACUCUAAAAAAAAAUAAAACUUUUUUGGCUUCUGUUAUAGAUGAUAUUAAUACACUAUUUGUUUUGUUUAAUUUUAUUUAAUUAUAAAGUUACUUGCUUGAUUUACAUAUUGAACGGAGAGAAAAUAUAAGUAGGAUGAUGCCUUAAUUAUGUUGUUUAACCCUUGCAUCUUCUGAUUUGAUAUACAACUCAAAAAGCUAGUAUUAGGAUCAAGAGAAAAUCUUACGUGCGACGGCCGUGCCACGUGGACGGUGCAACUUACCAGUGGCAGGCCGACGCGUGUUUUUAUUUUUAUUUUCAACAGCUCUUCUUCUUCCUUCUGCUCUCUUCUCUGGAGAAACCGAUCUCUUCUCCGGCGAACCGAUCCCCUCUGGCGAAGCCAAUCUCUUCUGCUCUCUUCUCCAGCGAAACCGAUCCCCUCCGGCGAGCCAACGACGGGUGACAAGGAUUCGUGGCAGCGGGUUUUACACGGGUUGGUGGAGGCGUGAGGGAGGCGCGGCUUAACGGCCGGAGGUUUCUGCAAAGUUGUGGCAGGUUGGAGCGGUGAGGGGGCGGCUGGGUAGAGGGAAAGAACACGCCAGAGGGGAUCGGUUUCGCCAGAAAAGAGGAUGCAAGGAAGAAGAAGAGCUGUGAAAAAAAAAAAAACACGCGUCAGCCUGCCACUGGUCGGUCGCACUGUCCAUGUGGUACAGCCGUCGCACGUAAGAUUUUCUCUAGGAUCAAAUGAUUUUGACAAAUCAUGGUGUUGAUGCAGUGGAUUUGGCAUAUGUCUAACUUCUCUCAUGAGUCAUGAAAAAACUUGCUAGUGUAUGUACAUAUCAGCUAGUUAUCCUCUGAUUGACAAAAAAAAAGCUAGUUAUCCUCUGUCUUCACAUUUCCUACUGAAAUGUUUGUCUACCUCCAUACGCUGCUAGAUUUUGAGCAAUUCAACAGCUAAUUUGUUAUCAAAAUAAAGAUCAAGCACAUUUCUAUAAGUCAUAUCAUUCAAAACAAGCACAUUCUUUAUCCUUACAUCAAAAAGUAAAAUCAAGCACUUCAAAUGAGGCUCUUCAACAGAUAGGAUUGCAGGGAAAUACAAAAUAAAAAACUUAGAAAGAGAGGACAUUGCAGGCAAAAAGGAUACCAGAAUCUUUGUUUAACUACCGUUAUUUUUUACUUAAUAUAAAUUCAUAGAAAUCAGAUCGAUACAGAAUCAAUCUGCUCAAUCAAAUGUAAGUUACCAAAUUGCCAAUUGUAGGUCUGAAGUAACACAAUAAUCCAGCUACUCAGUACAAAAUAUGUUCAAGACUAGAUAAAUACAAUAAAUGCUCUUUUUCUUUCCUUGGAAAAAAAAAAAUUAAUGAAAAAGAAAACUAAUAGCAUGAAGAGUAAGGGCUAACUGGCUGUAUACUUUGUGCUGUGUUCAUUGAGCCAUGAUAUGAUGUCAUUGAAAACUUGAACUAUCAUUUCAUCCGGCUCACCCUCCAGAAGGGAAUGAUAUGCAUCCUCGUACAGGAUUAGCUUCUUGUUAGAACUGCUUGCUUUCUCGUAGAGCGCUUUACUUACAGAUGGAUCAGUCACAAUAUCAUCUUCUCCAUGAAGGAUUAAUAAUGGAAGAGAGACUUCUUCUAAUCGGCUUUCUAUCUCUUGGGUUGUAUGGAGCAUUUCUACAGCAGUCUGCAGGCGUGGGUUAUCCCUGUAAGCAAUAACAUUGUAGGCCGUCAGUUCCCGUUUCUUCAAGUCUUUAAAGGCUGCCUCAGCCAGAUUCUUUUGUGGAACCAACUUCUGCUUUGGAAGGAAUUUCGCAACACCAAUUAGGACUUGUGCUAGUAGCCAUGGCGGGGCCAUGUCAUCUGCAAUUCUGCACAUAGGUGCAACUAGGAUGGCACCAUUCCAUCCACUAGGUUGUUUUAGGUGAAUCUUAAGAGCUACAGCUCCGCCCAUGGACUGCCCGAAAAGAAAGCUUGGGAGAGUACUGAACUCAGGUUGCGUUUUGACUUUAGAAAAAUGCUCAAUGACAUCAUCUACGAGCCUUUCAAAGCUAGGAAUAUAACAAUGCAGACCUUCUGAAAGACCAAAUCCAGGGUAGUCCAUUGCAAAAACUCCAUAGCCAAAUGAUGCCAACUUCCUUGCGAUUCCUUCAAAGAAAAACGUGCAAGUAUCCCCAUAACCAUGACAGUAACAAAGUAUUGCUUUGGGCUGAGAUGUCUCUGGAAGCCAACUCUUGGAGAAGAUCUCCAAUCCCCUGGAGUUCACUUCAUAUGACUCUUUCAUUUUAAGUCCAUCAGUUGGUGUCUUGAAUAAUAUAUGAUCAAUUUUAAGCUGAAUGUCCUUAAAAGCUUCACGAACUCUCCUUCUGGCCGGAGCUUCAUCCAUGUUAGUAUCCAGAAGCUUCUGCAAUUUAUCAUCAACACCUGGCAACCUAACUUGGGGUGCCAUUACUUCUAUGCUCUUCUUUCUCUUUGUUGGGGAACAACACUCGGGCCUGAACUCCCUAGAACUCUUUAUUUUUUGGAGGGUUUCGAAAUUCAGUUGGUGUUUAAUCAUGACAGUUAAAAGAAUGACAAUUGUAAUCCGAAACGAGCAUUAAGCAGCAAGUCUUUCCGGGAGGAUGUAGUGAUGGAAGAAUUGGUGAUGAUGGUCAAAGUGCAGCGAGAUUACAGAGGUUGAUCUAAAACUCCUUUUGGGUCUCAAUUCCUGCGGCCUCUUUGGCUAAGCAGCUUGGGACUCAAAAUCUGCAGAAGAAAAAGAAUACAUGUAUAUAUGUGAAUGCCCAAAGAUAUAGGAAGAAAUAAACAGUGCAAGAUAUUUAACUAUUCCAGUAUAUAUAUAUGUUUUCCUAUUUGAUGCUUCAAAUGGUGCUCUUGUACAAGCAUCUACAUGUUUGCAUUAUUCUUCAAUUUUCUUAACAGUGACCAAAUUAGCCGGAGGACUACUGUAGCACAUUUCAGGGACUUUGUUUAUGGAACAAAUGUGAUUAUACACCAUAGGUAUUCCUACAGAUUGACUCAAACCAAAGAAGAUACAACUCUCAGAAAUUAAAUUCUACACUUCAAAAUCCCACUUCACAGUUUGUCCCUUACAUCAUGUAAGGCUAUCGGACAUCAAAACCUUAAGUUAUUUAGGGAACACACAAACAAUGUAUAUCGAUUCAAUAUUUUCCCUGCCAGACAAUCAAAAAUGUAAACAUAUAGGUACACAACCAUGUACCUUGCAAAUAACAAAUAAGUGGAAAAUGGAGAUGGGGAGCUGAACCCAAAACCUCCUGCAACUAUCACUUUCAGUCUUGUCUUCUUUUCUUUUAACUUUUGACUUUGACAAGAAUUGAAGUUUUAUCACCGAAAACAACACUAUAAUGAACUAGAGGACAGGACGUGCACUUUCACAGCACCAGAGAAAAGAAAAGCUCUAAUAAGCCUAAAGUAUAUAACUGUUUAAAGAACGAAUUUUCAAGGUAAUAACACAAACUUGAUAAGGAAUAGUAUCUGAAUUCCACAAUGAGUGAUUCCGACAAACCACCCCCCCCCCCCCCCCCCAACUCUAUAUUUUUAAAUUUCAAUACAUCUAUAUAACCCGGAAUUACUGCCAACAUUUCUUCAGCCCCAAAAGGGUUUUGACUUUCUUUCCUCCAUCUAAACCCCAGAACUGAAACAGUAUCCCCUGGCAUGCAAGGACUACGCUAAAGGUAUGGCCUACAGUGGAAUAUUGAACGAGCAAGCAUUUCUUUAGGAGGAACCUUGGUGUCCAAAUUUGAUUAAUAAAAUAUUUGUGAACUCAUAUUUAUUGUAAGGGUAACUGUUAAAAGACUUUCUCUAAAUGCCAAGACCCUAUCAUCUCCCCAGAAGGAAACUAGGUGCACCAUCUAGCUUUAAUGACAGAGAAGGAAACUUUCCAUUUCCAAAAUCUUUGAGAUUCCUAAAUCCCAAGUUUUGGAAAUAAGCAAAAACACCACUUAUUCCUUAUCACUCUAUGCCACAAGGAAUCUGGUUCCAAUUGAUAUCUCCACAACCACUUCCCAAGCUAGGUGUAAUAAUUAAUUUCAAUAAAGAUAUUAUUUCCAAUGUCUUUCAAGAAAGGUCUUGAGUUCUCUACAAGUUCCCAAGGAAGGCCUUAUAAACUUGUCACCAAGGGGAAGGGCCUGAACCCCCAUACUUUAAUAAACUCUGAUCUUCUUUGAAAUCAACCAGAUAUAUGUUUUGUUUAUCAAUGCAUUGAUAAUCUUAUAAUCAACAAUGUCAUAAGCUGGGAAAUUAAGUUUAUACUUGAUACUACUGAGAGUAAGUCUCUCCUUCAUUUACUGACAGUAAAUAGAAGUGGGAAAGAAACACACAUGGUUCAAUGGUUACAUAACAGCGAAGGUCAACUAUAUUGUGGGUUUCUAUGAGCUUGCAGUUCACUAUGAUAGCACCAAAUAGAAACUUUACAGUGACAACUCAGAAUAAGACAUAUUUUGACUUGAAGUAAUCACCUAGCACAAGCAUGGUAUUAGUAUACAGCUUAAACAAUAGCAUAUAUAAAAGGAAAGAAAAAAGCAAAAACAAAAAACCAUAAAAUAUGCAUUUCCUCCCAACCACAAGAAAGAAUUUACACAAUAGGCACAUACAUGUCUGAAAGUAAUGAGAAUGAUCAGUUCUGGAGAUAGACAAGUCACAAAUGGAAUACGAAAGCGAUUCAUUACCUUCUCCGUUAAUAGCCUCCUCCUUCUUUAUGAUCUGAUCUGUUGAGAGAUACUUGAACUUGGUCAAGGUCAGGCACACGAUGUUGCUCUAACUCAAUCUCCAAAUUGAUAAUGAGAAUCAAAAGCUAAAAGUAGUACAGCUCCAGGCAUCAUUCAUAAGAAAACAAAACCUAUUCGCAAUAAAAAUCAGAACAAUAAUCAUCAGAAACCAGCCUUGACAUUCAACAUAUCCCUUACUCUUGACAAGAAUCUUCUAUCUGUAAGGAGACUGAUUUCGCACAUGUUUUGCAUUCUAAACCUUAUGCUGUUUAGGCUUCUAAUCUCAGAAACGAAUAAAAAACAGAACAAAAGAAUCAAACUUGAACUCCAUCUGUCUCAUCUAACAAAACUUAUCUGGGUCCUUCAGAUUAUACUAGUUUAUGUUUGUCAUCUUCGCAAAAUUGUUUCUAGUUACUUUCAUCCUGUGAUUCAUCUAGGCUUCAAGUUAACAUCAAUAGAAUUUAUGGUCUCUUCUUUUAAAAACCAAGUCCUAAGAAAAGACUUGCGAGAUCUUAAUGUCAAAAAUCAUCUCAAUCCUUCUACUGCCAGUCAUCGUCAGUAGAAUAGUAGAAUGCAAACAACAAAUUCACAACGUUUUUUCAUGUCCCAUAAUUUCUUAGCCACCAAACAAAACCAAAUUCACAUUUAGACAACAAACCAUAACUCCGAAGAACUCUCAAAUCUGAUCAACUCAUCUAUGAGACGGGUCUUAAUAGACAUGUUCAAAGGAAAAUAAUUUCACUUCAGCUGAGUUUAACUGAUUUGAAUUAGGCUCUGUCUCAACCUAUACAAUUGAACGAGGAAAAGCUGUGAUUUGACUAUUUCUGGGGAAGGCCACAGAUUCAAGAGACCAAAUGGAAACAAAAAGGUGAUCACUUACAGAACAACCGAACAGUUUGAGUUGAUGAUCGGCGUCUGGAAUUGAAUGAAGUGAAGAAGCUUUCGGAUGUAGUUGGGUCCGAGACAAAAGCUUUCUGUUUUGCUUCUUCUUCUUCUUCUGGUUUGUUUUUAUGUUUUUGUUUUGAGCGCAAAUGCGACCAAAACAGAAAGUUUGAGCGCAUAUGUCACCAUACAAUUCGUACACCUUAAUAGAAACCAGACAAAAAUGGAACGCGCCCCACGCGCCAAGAGUUUGGCGUUCUGGGCUCUAGUCGGUGGAUUGCUUGGUGGCCGCCAUGGCCAAUUUCAUGGAUUUCAUUCCUAUCCUUGAUCUGCAUUUGGCGUUCGCGGCAUCGGAUGACGAAUCUCACAGCUUGCUAUUGGUCUUCUCCUGCACCCUUGGAAUGGGUGACCCUGGUGUUUCAAAACUUAGUGUCUUUCGCUUUGUGUUCUUACGGCAACGAGUACGUAUUUCCUACUAUUAGACCUUUGCUCUUUCAACUUAUUUGCUAUUACAUCUUUGCAUGUUGCAGUUUACAAAAGGUAAGUGGGGUUUCUGCUUAUUUACUAGACCCUUCAAAUCGUAAUCUUAAUCUCGUGGAAACAAUGGUGAGUGUUGUUACGGGUUGUCUUGAUCUCCAGUGAUAUGUGAUUGGUGACUGUUUUCUAGAAAUCGUGCUUGAUAAGCUGUCUGGGGGUUUCAAUUGGAACCCAAUUAAGAGGACUAUGAACUUGCCAGGUGUUUUGAUUAAAGCUCUAGGAAUUGCUGUUGACCACAGCUCUCAGUCUAAUAAUAAUCUUAUUUCAUGAAGAUUUGUACUUGGAAUAGCCGGGGAAGUUCCUGGUCAAACAAAUUUCUAUGCCUCUAUUUUAGAUAUUGAUGUCCUCUGUAUCUUGGAUACUAGGGCCUCUACAGGUAUAAUUAUUAAGACCAUGAAACUUCCUUUUGAUACUCAAUAUGUUAUUCCUGCAAGAGGGCAAUGUGGUGGCCUCCUUUUACUCUGGAAAUCUAGGAUGGUUAACAUUGAUAUUAUCAUGCCUCAUGAUCGUUUUAUUCAUUGCAUGAUCACUGAGAUUGCUACCAACAAUUCCUUGUAUACUACCUUUGUGUAUAUUUUUCCUCAAAAGGAAAAACAAACAGGUCUUUGGAAUGAAAUUCUAGCCAUGAAGCCUGUGAAUGAUGAACCCUGGUUAAUUAUGGGUGAUUUUAAUAACAUUAUUAGUCUCAAUGAAAAAUCUGGUGCUAACCAGUCGGUUACGAACCACAUGAUUAAUUUUACAGUUUUCCUAAAUAAAAUGUUUGUUCUUUAGAUGCCUCUGGUGUUCCUUUUACUUGGUCAAAUUGUCAUAAGGACAAUACAAUUAUUUAUGAAAGAUUGGACCGAGUGCAAAUGCAGGUUUGAUUAAUCUGUUUCCGGAUAUGACUUUAGUUAAUUAUCCCAUCAAUUCUUCUGAUCAUGGUCCAAUUUGCCUAAAUCUUUAUUCAAGGUCCUGAAAUUUUCAUAAACCCUUCAGGUUUGAGGCUAUGUGGUUAUCCCACAAUGAUUUCAAGAGGUUAACGACUGAAAUUUGGGUCAGAACCUUGACAGUGACCCUUUAAAGAACUUUUUGGCGAUUUCUAGUAGUUAUGCCAAGGUUUUGAAAACUUGGAAUAAAAAUGUUUUUGGAGACUUGUUCAAAAAACUUAAGGAUCUUCAAGAAGAGAGUAGUUUGAUUCAACAACAACUUAUGAACUCUCCUUUUUCUGUUGUUUUGCAGGAGAAAAAUGCUAAAGUUAAAUCACGAAUUGCUUAAGAUGUACAGUGAUGAGGAACUUUACUGGGCUCAAAAAGCAAGAGCUAAUUGGCUUAGCUUGGGAGAUAAAAAUACUAUAUUCUUUCAGACUCGAGCUAAUAUAAGGAAGAAAAAGACUUUUGUUACAAAAGUUAAAGAUGAGUCUGGUGUUUGGUUAAAUAGUCAAGAACAUAUUGCUAAAUAUUUUGUGCAUAACUUUAAAAGGAGAUUCUCCUUAGAUCUUUGUCCGAAUAUGAACUCUAUGAUGACUUUUUUGGAUUGUUUGUCUCCUGGUAUCUCUACUGAUGAUAACUCCUUGCUUACUCAACAGGUGAAUGACACUGAAAUUUUGGAAGCUUUAAAUUCAAUUGGCCCCUUGAAAGCACCUGGACGGCUGGACCGGAUGGACUACAUGCCAUAUUCUACCAAAAGUGCUGGACUGAGGUAAAAAGCUGCAUCAUUCCUUUGAUUAAAGGUUUCUUCCAGCAUGGUCUGAACAUUGAGCUGUUAAAUCAUACCAAUAUUGCUUUGAUUCCUAAAAAAGAUAAUCCUGAAACUGCGGCUGAUUUUAGACCUACUAGCUUGUGUAAUGUUUGUUACAAGAUCAUUACCAAAAUUUUAGUUAAGAGACUUAGACCUCUUCUGGAAAAGUGUAUUUCUAAAAACCAAGGUGCCUUUGCACCAGGAAGAUCCAUUCAGGAUAACAUUUAAAUUGCUCAUGAGUUGUUCUCAGACUUUCAGCGAAAAAAAGGGAACUUAGGUGCAAUGGCAGUCAAACUUGACCUUGAGAAAGCUUAUGAUUUCUUAAAUUGGAAUUAUAUCGAGGCUUGUCUCCAUAAAUUUGGGUUCAAUACACAUUGGAUUUCUCUGAUAACGAAAUGUAUCACUACUGCUUCUUUUUCUAUAUUGGUUAAUGGCAAGUCUGAAGAUUGGUUUAAACCUUCAAGAGGAAUCAGACAAGGUGAUCCCUUAUCCCCUUGUAUCUUUAUCUUAGCUAUGGAACCCCUCAUUCGACACCUAAAUAGUUUAUCAACCAGAAGUAAAACCCAUGUUGGUAUGCUUUCUUCCUGGCUAGGUUUUAGGAUUUCAAACCUAAUGUUUGCUGAUGACUGCCUUAUUUUUGGGAAAGCUUCUCCCAAAGCCGCUAGAAAUAUUCUUACUGUUUUGAAUAAUUUCUCUGCUGCCUCUGGUCAGAAAAUAAACUUUGACAAGUCUUCUUUGUAUUUCUCUCCAAAGGUCAGUAAUGUGACCAAGGUUAAUAUAGUUAGUAUAUUAGCUAUACAACAGAAAGCUACCGUAGGCAAGUAUCUUGGCAUUCACAAUGUGAUUUUCUGGAAAGACCCUUCAAAUGCAAAGGAACUUAUGCUCAGAAUUUCAAAAAAGUUAGCAGGUUGGAAAAAAGGUACUCUUUCUAGAGCAGGCAGAUCGACUCUUAUUAAAUCUAAUUUGUCGGGCAUGCCUAUUAAUGUUAUAUCUUGUUUUAAAUGCUCUCCUAAAAUUACAAAUGCUAUUGAUAAGGAAGCUAGAAAUUUUUUCUGGAAUUGCAAUGGGAGUCCUCCUGUGGCUUGGAGCCAAAUUUGCUGCCCUAAACAUGUGGGUGGACUUGGCAUUAGACCAAGUGCUUACUUUAAUAAUGCUGCUAUUGCCAAACUUGGCUGGAAAAUUAGUAAGGAACCAGAAAAUUGGUGGGCUCAGAUUAUGAGGAAAAAAUAUUUGAGAAAGGUGAAUUUCUUUCAAGCAAAAAAGAAGCAAGCUAGCUCUUUGGCUUGGAAGGGAAUCCUUGAUUGCAGAGAUCUUCUUACUCAAGGGUUGAGAUGGACUGUUGGCAAUGGAAGAAGUAUCAACUUCUGGACCUUAAAUUGGGUUUUCCCUUUUCCUCUAAGUAAUCUUCUCAAUGAUAGUCAAAAAGCUAGUAUUUCUGUUGCCGAUUUUAUGACUAACAAGUGUUGGAAUAAGCAAAAACUCUUGCAGGUACUAGAUCAUAGCAUUGUAAACUAGAUAUUGGGCAUUCCUAUUCCUGUGUGUGAUCCGGAAGAUGAACUUAUUUGGGGACCCUCUUCUAAUGGAAAUUUCUCAAUCAAAACAGCAACUUGGUUACAAGGUAAGGAUCAAAAUGUUCAUGCUAAUGCAGAUCUUUUAAGGAAAAUGUGGUGAUCGAUUAUUCCACCAAAAGUAAAAAUAUUUAGUUGGCUUCUCUUAAGAGGCAGAUUGAAAACUAAGGAUAGACUUUCAAGGUUCAGCUACAUCAAUAAUAAUUCUUGUCCGCUUUGCAAUAACGAUAAUGAAACUGCUGAUCAUAUUUUUGGUUGUUGUGUUUUCUCACAAGAUGUCUGGAGAAUUGCAGGCAUUGAUAAUCUAGUUGACUAGAGCAAUGGAAUUUUGCAUAAUAUGAGAAGCCUUUCUGGCAAUAAUCCCUAUGAUAAAGAUUUAUUUGCCAAACUUCUUCUUUGUUGGCAAAUAUGGAAAAGAAGAAAUGAUUGCGUUUUUAGAAACUUAACUCCCAAGUCUUUUGAUACAGUUCAAGUGGCUCUUCAUUACUUACAUUCCUACAGGAACCAUAAUUCGGGGCUUGUUGGAUUUUCUACUCAAAACCCUCUUGCCAUAAUUAAAUGGCAUCCACCACCCCCGAAUUUUUGCAAAUUAAACUUUGAUGGCUCUGUUAACCAUAUGAACUCGGCUGCUACUGGCUUUAUUAUCAUAGAUGAUAAAGGUCAGUUUGUAGUUGCCGGUGUGAAAAGAGUUGGUUCCUCAAGUAUUCCAACAGUUGAAGUUGCUCCUUUAAGAGAAGGACUUCUAAAAAGCAAGAGAGAAGCACAUCAAGAAGGUAAAUGGUAGAAGGAGACUCAAAGUUGGUGAUUGACUGCAUUAAUGGCACUUGUGCUACCCUUUGGAGACUCAAGACAAUGGUAGAAAACAUUAAGCAAAUAUGCGAAUGUUUUGAGAGCUGCUAUUUUCAACAUGUUUUUCGAGAAGCUAACUUCCCGGUGGAUGCCUUUGCAAACUUGGGUACAUAAGUAACAUGGAUAUUGACUUGGAAGGAUCUUGUCCUCUUCAAAUUAGAAAUGCUUUAUUGUUUGACCGUUUAGGGUCAUGUUGUACUCGAGGUUCUAUUUUGUAAUUUACUUUUCGUAUCAAAAACAACAAAAAAACAAUUCAUACACCUUAUAUUCAACUCUAGGUUUUUUUUUUUUAUUAUCAUUAAAUAAAGAAUAAGAGAGAUAAGUCAUCCUUGACAUAUCAUCACGAGUAAGACUAAUUCUUAGUAAAGUUUCGAAAAUUCUUCUAUACACCAUAGUAUACAUGCACGGUUUCAGCAACAUUUAUCAAGUAAUUUGUGUUCUUGAUUUUUAUAGUAAACAUCUUUAGUAGUCUUCUUGAUGUUAUCUAUUGGUGUUUGAUAAAGCAAGUAUUAUUGUUGCAGCAACAUGGCUUCUAAAGUAUUAUUCUUACUUUAUCAAUCACUGUAGCACUACAGCAUAGCUUAGCAGCAUGUUGUAUAUGAAUUUGUCCUACUGUUCUCAAUUUUUGUUGGAUUCAAAUAGUGCCUUGAAUCCUCUAUAAAUACAUCAAUCUAAAUCAACAUACAUGUGAGACAAAAAGAGAGAAACCCCCUCAAACCCUAGCGUUGCUGCGAUCAACUUUCUCCUCUCUCAUUCAUAAUCGCUAUUAUGUCCUCCAUUGACACCGUCACAGCGUCCUUCGCCGCCUCCUUGGCUUUGGCUAACGGUGGAAAAGUGCCAGAUUUGGGGAAGAUAGGAGGAGGUCCUGUGAGACAUUCAUCCCAAUCUUUUCUUCUUGCUAAGCCACUCACGUUGUGUUGUGGAUCCAGAAGAUUCAAGUCGCACUUUGGCCGUGCUUGGGUGGUGCAGUGGAAUUUCUGAAUUCAGGAGAGCGUGAUCUCCUCCUCGUCUCCUUCGAAUCUGAGAAGGAUCGAAAAAAAGUUCUAAAGGGUGGCGCAUGGUGCUUUGACCACGUACGUGUUUGUCUUGAGGUGUAUGAUGGGAUUACUCCUAUGGCCGACGUUCUUAUACGUCAUGUGAGGAUGUGGGUGAUCGUCUCUUUGAUCCCCCCUCGGUACGAGGAGUGUGAUAACCUUCGUUUGAUUGGUAACCUUCUUGGAGGAUACUUGGAUUAUGAUCAUACAAUUCAAAAGGGAGUGAUGAAGAUCUUGUUUACCCACGACAUCUAUAAACCAGUUCUUUUAGAGAGGCAGGUUCAUCUGGAUCUAAGGGUGGAGCCGAUGUUAAAGUUUGAUUUUGUACAUCUUCUGGGUAGAUGUUAUGUCUGCAAUAUGAUCACACGUGCUGGAGAAAAGUGUGAUGGAACUCAUACCAUCUUAGGUACAUCCAAAGGCAUUAAUUUUGGUGCUCAGCCAAAACUAGGUUAUGCCUUUUUGGCAAAGCCCAUCGCUGGUGUGGCUAUCAAUCCAGCGCCGGUGGUUUCCUCAUCUUUGGUAGUGAAGAGAAAGCAUGUGGUACAUUGACUGGAGCAUACUGAAGCAUCAGAAAUUGAUGAAUCUGGUCUUCGACGUAUGGGCUCUUCUUCGGGGUCUGGUAACUCUACUCUUGAGAAUGAGGUUGCCUCCGAAUUAGAGACAUCUCCUAUUGUGUUAGAAGCUGUUGUUGGGAAAGAUGUGGUAUUUUCUACUACUCCCUCAAAGAAAUGAGGACGUAGUGGGGGUUGCUUUCCCUUCCCAAAGAAAAUCAUCAAGGCUAUUCUGGGCGGUAAACUUAUCAAACUACAAAUUGAAUCUUUAGGUUUGGUCGACACAAGUGGGAAUGAUGAGCCUCUUGUGACCCUGAAGAAGAAGUUGGGUGGUCGUCUGGGUAGCAGGAAUAAGGAAUCUCGGUCUACCAAAAAGACAGAGGCUCCUCUGCAUAUUACUUACCUGAUUGCUGCCAAGGUGGGUGACAAGGCAAGCCCUAAUGCCAAGGGCAAGGGCAAGACUUAGAAUUUGGGUUGCCCUUAGCCCGAGCAUCAGAGGUAGAUUUACUACUUAUUUCUUAAGCUUAUUAUGUCUAUAUUAAUUGAGGUCUUAGGCAGCUAAUAUUCUGUUCGAAGGACUUAGGUAGUCAGUUUUAAUUCUUUUGCUUCAGGCUCUCUUUGAGCCUAUGUGUAAUCAGUAAAGGUACCUAUCUUGGUGCUUGUAAGCCUCCCUUAACAUACUCUGUGGAUGAUGACAUUUUGAUGUAUGUGCAUUUUGGCCAUUGAUUAAGCAAUAUAAUUUAUCCUUUUUUUACAAAAAAAAAAACAACAUACAUGUGAGACCUGUAAGUUUAAUGAACUAGCUUAGGAAAUUACCCUUAAGUCAAAACUGCACAUUCCCUUUUUCUCUUAUUCUAUCUAAUAUAUUUCUUCAACUUCAUUGACAAAAAAGGUUAGCUUGAGUCUCUUUUAUUUAUUCCAAAUGUCAGUUCAAACAAGGAGUCAAGGACUUAUAUAUCCUAUUAGAAAUCACAUUAUGGGGCAGAACCUGACUAGCUAUAACGUGGUUGUGAACGCAGCUUAUAAGCUGUUCCAAGACUAUCUGAAUUCCAAGAAAGGGCGACAUGGUGCUUCAAGUGAUUCAAAAGAAUCAGGGGGAAAUAUAACAAAGAAGAACCUGAAGAGAAUACAAGGGGAAAACAACAGAUCAUUGGGCCUUUUGCUACCAUUGUGGAGAAGUUGGACAUGUCAAAACAAAGUGUCCUCAUAGAGAAGUUUCUGGAUCAGUAGCUACGCAUCAAAACUGACCACCAAGGCCUGCAAAACAGUGAGACAACACAGCAGAAUAUGCAACAACCACAAAGAGGAACUUUUCGCACGGCAAAUAAGGGAAAUCGUUGCCGCGGCGCUGGACAUGGCCAAUAUUACUCGUGGAGGAAGAGUCUUUGCAGUGACAAGACACAAGGAAGAAGAUCCAAAUAUUACACUUGAGGUACUAAUCUUUUAUCUCUUGAAACUAGUCUUAAUAGAUACUGGUGCAUCACACUCCUUUAUUUCAACUUACUUUGCUGAAUUAAAUCUAGAAUCUCAAAUAUUAGCUGAACCCUUGCAUCUAAAAACACCCUUAGGGGAGGGAGCACUAGUGGUAAUGAAUUGGUUGCGAGUACAUCGUUCCCUAAUUGAUUGUGAUAGAAGAGAAAGAGUAAAACCAUCAGAAGGAGGAGACUUAGUUAUAUGACUUGAUGAGUCUGUUAUAUUGAAGCAUUGCUUUUAGAAUAAGAGUGUUGUUGUGUUAUGGUCUUGGAAAAAUUUCAGUUUACUACCCUGAACUUUAGGUUUAAAAUCAGUCUGAUACCUCAUCUUUUUUUAAUCAGUUUCAUACCUAAACUUUUAAAAUGACAUCAAUCUCGACCAAAAUNNNNNNNNNNNNNNNNNNNNNNNNNNNNNNNNNNNNNNNNNNNNNNNNNNNNNNNNNNNNNNNNNNNNNNNNNNNNNNNNNNNNNNNNNNNNNNNNNNNNNNNNNNNNNNNNNNNNNNNNNNNNNNNNNNNNNNNNNNNNNNNNNNNNNNNNNNNNNNNNNNNNNNNNNNNNNNNNNNNNNNNNNNNNNNNNNNNNNNNNNNNNNNNNNNNNNNNNNNNNNNNNNNNNNNNNNNNNNNNNNNNNNNNNNNNNNNNNNNNNNNNNNNNNNNNNNNNNNNNNNNNNNNNNNNNNNNNNNNNNNNNNNNNNNNNNNNNNNNNNNNNNNNNNNNNNNNNNNNNNNNNNNNNNNNNNNNNNNNNNNNNNNNNNNNNNNNNNNNNNNNNNNNNNNNNNNNNNNNNNNNNNNNNNNNNNNNNNNNNNNNNNNNNNNNNNNNNNNNNNNNNNNNNNNNNNNNNNNNNNNNNNNNNNNNNNNNNNNNNNNNNNNNNNNNNNNNNNNNNNNNNNNNNNNNNNNNNNNNNNNNNNNNNNNNNNNNNNNNNNNNNNNNNNNNNNNNNNNNNNNNNNNNNNNNNNNNNNNNNNNNNNNNNNNNNNNNNNNNNNNNNNNNNNNNNNNNNNNNNNNNNNNNNNNNNNNNNNNNNNNNNNNNNNNNNNNNNNNNNNAGAGAGAGAGAGAGAGAGUAAAAAGAUUAAUCAGGGCUAUUUUAGUCAUUUUGGUCGAGAUUGAUGUCAUUUUGAAAGUUUAGGUAUGAAACUGAUUAAAGAAAAAAGAUGAGGUAUCAGACUGAUUUUAGACCUAAAGUUUAGGGUAGUAAACUGAAAUUUUUCCUAUGGUCUUUUAUUAACAGCCAUAGAGACAUCAAAUUGUGUUCAAAAACCUAUUCUAGUGGUAGAUGAAUACCCUGAUGUAUUUUCAGAAGACUUGUUUGGAGUACCUCUUGAAAGGGAAGUAAAGUUUCACAUUGAUCUUGGUACCUCGAACCACACAAAUAUCAAUGCCUGCUUACGAAUGGCUUUAACAGAAUUAAGAGAGCUCAGAGCACAACUAGAUGAUUUAGAGAAGAAGGGUUUCAUCCGUACAAGUAGUUCACCUUGGGGAGCACCUGUUUUGUUUGCUAGGAAGCAUGAUGGAACAUUGAGGCUAUGUGUGGAUUAUCAAAGGUUGAACAAGGUUACCAUAAAGAACAAGUAUCCAUUACCACAGAUUGAUGAAUUAUUUGACCAACUUUCUAGGGCCAAGUACUUCUCCAAGAUCGACAUGAAAUCAGACUACCAUUAGCUACAAGUUAGAGAAGAGAAUAUUCCUAAGACUACAUUUCAAACACGGUACAAGCAUUUUGGAAUUUGUUGUCAUGCUGUUUGGAAUGACCAAUGCAGCUACAUCAUUCAUAGACCCCAAUGCACCUGCAUCAUUCAUAGACCUCAUGAACUGAAUUUUUCAACCGUACUUAGACCAUUUUGUGAUCGUUUUCAUUGAUGACAUCCUAAUGUAUUCUAAGAUGGCAGAGGAGCAUGAUGAGCAUCUGCGAAUUGUUCUGCAAAAACGUUGCUGGAGAUCCAAUUGUAUGUUAAGAAAUCAAAGUGUGAAUUUUGGUUGUCUGAAGUACGAUUUCUUAGGCAUGUCAUAUCUAGUGAUGGUACAUAUGAUCCUAGUAAGGUGGAGAUAGUUCUAAACUGGAAACGACCAAAGAAUGUCUCUGAGAAGAUAAGUUUCCUUCGAUUAGUCGGAUAUUACCGACGCUUCAUCAACAAUUUUUCUAAGAUUGCUUCUCCAUUGAUUCGUUUAAAUCGAAAAGGAGUAAAAUUCGAGUGAAACGAUAAAUGUGAGUUAGCAUUUGAGGAACUCAAAAAAAGACUGACAACUGCUCCAUUACUUAUCCUACCUAACAAUGAAGAUCCAUUUGAGAUAUACACUAAUGCUUCAGCUCAAGGACUUAGGUCUGUGUUGAUGCAAAAUGGAAGAGUGGCAACCUAUGGUUCCAGACAACUCAAGACACGUACAUGAAGUGAACUAUCCUACAUAUCAUUUGAAGUUGGCCGUAGUUUUUCAUGCAUUGAAAAUUUGGAGGUGUUCUUUGUACGGGAGUCAGCUCACUGUCUUUUGUGAUCAUAAAAGCUUGAAAUAUAUCUUCACUGAACGAGAUUUGAACCUGAGGCUGAGGCGAUGGAUGGAAUACUAGAAGGAUUAUGACUUCGACUUUGUUGGGUUUCCAACCCAUGUGUUUUUUCUAAGGUGUUUCGUCUUAGAGUAUGGUGUUCCAAUAAGGAAAUGAUAUACUUAUUGAUGAUGGUGUACCUGUAAUCUUGUUGAUUACAGAGAAGGAAGGAGGCAUUAUUGCCUACCACUAAUAGGAUUGAAUUUCCUAUUUGGUGAAGAGAUCUGAUAUCCUUAUGGCUAUAUAAAGAGAGGUUCAGUUCUAGGUUUUGUAUCGCAGAGACAAAGACUAAAGUGUGUUCCAUUCUCGGUUAGAGGGUGAGAGAGGGCAAAGAGGAGAGAGAUAGGAAGGUAAGAGAGAGUCAUUGUUUUCUUAUACUUUCUGGUGUACCCAUUAUUAAUAGUGGAGAGUGUUUUCUGCCGGUGGAUGUAGGCAAAAGUUUUGCUGAACUACCUUAUAUCUGUGUUCUUUGUGUCUUAUCUCUGUGGUUGUUUCUUUUGGUUUGCUGUGCUUGUUUGGGUUCCUUGACAUACAUAAUUGGCCGAUAUCACAACAGACUUGCAUUAUCAUCUUGGAUUAUGACUUUGACUCAUUUUAUGACCUCAAUUUCUUGUAAUGUUUAGUUAAAAGAACUAAAAACGAUAUUUUUUGAAUUAUCGCAUUUCGAAUUUGAAUUUUUUUAGUCAAAAUUCGGACGUGACACGACCACCCUUUGAUAGAGUCGCAUACACCAACGGCAGGGUUGAUACCACAAGCCGACCCGAAAAUCUACCAAGAAAUCCUCGAAUCCCUGUUCACGAUAAAAAAAAAUUAAAAAACUGCCAUCUCUACCGCUUUUGCAUUUGCAAGCCGGAACGACAAGUCAACGAUGAGGACAAGAUCUCCAUUGCCGUCGACGGCCGACCUCUACGUCUCUCAAGAGUCAAGAGAGAGACGAAACAUUACUUGGGAGAUAAAAUGAGAACAUUUGAUAUGUUUUUGGUUUUUAAUUUGGGGAAGCGAUGGACUACGCCGUAGUACAGUACGUCAUGAGUGGGAACAAACACGUGUCGACUUUUCAUCGACGGAGACAAAAUUUGAGGAACAUCGAUGGGAUUUCUCAGAUGACGGUCGUUCCCUUCGUCAUCGACGCCGUCUGGUUAAAAGCGAAGGGCUUUUAUGGAAUCCGGUGAGGUGAGAAGGGGGAGGUAAAUAUGACGUUCACGGGAGAUCUACACUGAGCAGCCACGUCUCCUGUUGAGAGGGUGAAUUAGCGGCAAGUAAAACAUCCUGCACAAUUAGGCAGAGAUGUUCAAAACUUUUGAAAUCGAUUUACUGAAGAACGGGUUGAAGGUGGAGUAAAGCGUGGUGCACAUUUUCGGAUACGAAAAAGGCGUUUUUGCUCACGAGCUUGAAAUCGAUGAAUGCAACCAGAUUCUGCGCAUCCCUCUGGGGGCAAGAGUUCUAAUCCAGAUUAGUUACAGUUCAUGUUUUUGAGAUUUGAUUAACAGCCGAGAGCUUCUUCUUCGGGACAUCCGAUAAAAGUGGAACGAUACAGAGAAGAUUAGCAUGGCCUAAGAGGUGCUCAUUGUAUGCAUUUGUCAAACUGAAAAGGAUGCUCACCACCUGUUUGAUGAAAUGCGUGUGAGAACCUCUCCCCUUUAGCUUUACUUGAACUGAAUAUUCUUUACCAUUUUGUGCAGAGAUUAACUUUUUGUGUUUUUUUUUUUUUUAAGUCGCAUUUGACUGACUUACUUGAACAUAAUUAUUAGUUGGGUUUAAAACUUGUUGAAUUUGUAAUGAAUCUACUGUAAGUACUUGGUAUUGAAUAAUCACAUGUAAUGGCUGACUAGUUUAAUGGAGGAAGGAUUCACUUGGGGUCUUGAAUGCUGCAGAGGCAAUCAGCUUAGAAAGUAAAUCCCUUUCUGCAGAUAUAUGUUAAUGGAGGGAAGGACAGCACAAAAAUUGGAGCUCCCACAGAUUUGGAGCUCUGUAUAACAGUUGGCCAAUCAUUAGAGCUCUGUAUUCCCACACUCCCACAUCCUUUAUCUGAUAUAUAGCAGACAAGAGGAGGACUCCCACAGAUCUCACUCCAUUUGCAAAAAAAAUUAUGUUGAAAGAUAAGGCAGUGCUAUGAUAAGAUGCUGCAAAAUGCUGAAACAGAUAAGUGAUGAUAGGUCUAUCGUAUGGUACAUGAAUUGAAUAGUUGAAUGAGGGACACUGGCUUGUGAGAAAUUUUGAAAUCACUAGGGUUUGUCUUGCUAUUCUCAUAAGUUAUUGUCGUCCCAUAGCUUUCACCUAUAUAUGCUACUGUGGAAACCACGUCCUCCUUUCGAAACAUGCAUUUCCUUACCAAAAUUCGUACAUAACAAACAAGAAAGUGACAUCAAUGCUGUCACUUUCUAAGAAACAAUCAGAGGCAUGCAUUAGAAAUCUAGGUCUGUUUAAUACUUAUAAUCAAUGAUGUUGCCAACCAGAACUGGUGGUGUUACUUGUGUAUGUUAUGUGAAUAGGAAUUGUGAGCACCAAUUGUUUGAUGAAAUGAGUUUGAGAAUCUCUGAUAAUUGUUUCCAUCAUGCUUAUUUGAAUUGAACAGUCUGCAUUACAUGUAGUUUUGUGUUUCCGUUUACCGAUUUUUCUUUGCAUCUGACUGAGCUAAAUGAACAUUGUUAUUAGUUUCACAAUGGUUAAUGUCAUUGUAUUGAACUUGGCAAUAUACUCAUACUUGCAACUAUAAGCAGAACUGUUUAUUUGGGUUUGAAUGUAAUGCAAACAUGUUAUAUACUUAUAUGUGAGUAUACACGUUUCCGUAAUGCAAACAAGUUUGGUUUUGAAUGCUGCAGUGCCAAUCAGGCCAACAACUUGAAAUUCCUUUCUGCAGAUAUAUUUUGCUGAGUAAGGAUCCCUCUCAUUAAUUUUGGAUGACUGAGUGUCAGAAUGGUACAGCACAACUCAUGGUUUAGAGUUAUAGACUGUAAGCCACUACACUUUGUUGUUAGAAUGAACUGCCAUUCAAUAAAUAAUAAUAAUGGCUUGCGGUUUUCGCUGUCGUUCAUUUUGAUAGAAAGAAGUAUACGAAUUGUUGAAGAAUAUAAAGUUGUACGUAGUAGUGGAAGAGAAUAGGGUGAAUUCAAUUCCUUGUCAGCUUUUGGGAUUCUUUGUGUUUCUUGAAUUCAUCUUGAUUGGAAGGUAUGCUGCUAUCUAAGGUUACAGCCACAAUCAUGGUGGUUUUUGUUUUUGAAGGCUUGGUGAGGACAUAGCACAGAAGCGCCUUUGGGGACUGCUAUGACCUAGCACAGUACUUUGAUGAAUUAUUGAUAUCGACUUCUUGCUUAUGUAGUUGUGUCUUAACAUAAUGCAAAUCAUUUAACCAUAGUUCUGUAAAAGUCUGGUGGUAUUUCACUAAGAGCCUGAUAUUUGACAUGUCACUAUAAGAAUGAUAUGAAAAAUUCUAUGCAUAUUAUGGUCUUAUUUACUAUUAAGAAGGAUACAUAGUCAUUAAAAAUCAUUCUUAUCGUUAGAAAAUAAUUUACAAAUUGAUAAGUCAUAAUUGUGGUUUUGGGUUGCUGCAUUGUCAUGCGGAAUAAAGUUGAAUACCAGUAAUUUUCACAGUAGUGUAUCCCCAUUUGAAUUGGUCAUUCUCUCAUAAUAAACUUGCGGCUAUUCAAAGAUUUUGAUAUUGAAAUGCUGUUUUAAUUUAAGUAUUAAGAGAUUAGAGGAUUUAUACAUCAAGCCUUGAUGACUAAGUGUAUAAAACUAUAAAUCCAAGUCCUCGACAUAUACCUUUCACUUGACCUUUAGAGUCAUUGCUUAAUAUUCUACAAUAUGGGAUAGACUGAAGCAUUAUCAAUAAGAUCCCAUAAGGUGCAUAUAGCAUGCAUCAUCGACAAUGCAAUCUUUCUAUUCGGCUGAAACAUUCCUCAUCAGUUCAGUCUACAUACUGCCUGUUGAGCAAAACAAUAACCAUUAUCAUAAGAACCCAACAUAUCAGUUCAAUUAAUCUGCAACUCUGCAAGAAUAAAAUAUGAACCCUAAACAUUGAAGAUUAAUAUAUAAUGAGAAUUUCAUGAAGUUCAAUCAAUAUGUUAGCAACUUACCAUCCAGUUGCAGCAUCCAAGAUCAAAUGGCAUUAAUAGAUAAACAAAAGUAGCAAUCCCAGAUGAUAUGUUUAUCGAGGACCAGGAUUCGAAAUAUAAAAUUAGUUAGGCAUAUGUGCAAUCUAAGAUGCAAAAUGAUAAACCAAACAAAGAAACAUAUACGCAUGCAACAGUUUAGUAUUCCACAGGUAAACCGUUGAUGAGGGCGGGCGAUCAGUGGGGCAAUUCUAACCAAUUAGAAAAAAAAUGAACCUGAAGCGGACUGUUUGGGUUUCCGGCGAUGGCUACCAGAUUAGAUUCGACUCUGAGUCUGACCUCCUCGCAAUGAGCUUCGAACUGUAUCGAAAUAGUUGACGGAAGCUUGAGACGCGGGAUCGAUCUCGGGCCAAGUCUCUUUUCUAUCCCUUAGAAUAGCAGUGAAAUCAGCCAGUUACCGUGACGACCAAAAAUUACACAACUGCCCAAAAUAAGAACGAAGGAGAUAAAAUGAUGAAUAGAUUGAUGAUUCACACCACCACCAAAACACCUUAUCAAAAAAAUGGAAAAACAAAAGACGAUGCGUCUCUCCACGUGACGACCACACCUCUUAAACCCCCUCGUACUGUUGGCCCGCAAUCAAACAAACCUCAACACGCAAAACUAGACACAUCAAACAAAGCAACGCAUAAAACCCUGAAACCCCCCAUACCAGACCAGAGAGAUUCUCAUUUGACCAACCUUCCCUUCCAAGUCUCACUUACCCCAAAAUUCCCCUUCCGUUUCCUCUCAACAAAAACCAACCCACAAAAUCCAGAGAAACUUAGAUUCAAUAGAGGAAGGGAGAUGGGUGGGAUUUCCAAGGAGGCUCAGCUGUCCAUCGCCGCCUCUUCGAUGUUUCCGGGGUUUAGAUUCUCACCGACAGACGAGGAGUUGAUUUCGUACUACCUUAAGAAUAAGUUGGAGUCCCCCGAGAAGAGCGUCGAGGUUAUUUCUGAGGUUGAUAUCUGCAACUUCGAGCCAUGGGACUUACCAGGUUUGUUUUUUCCAUUUUUGUUCUGCAUGUCUCAGUUUUGCUUUGGACUUUUUGAUUUGUUUGGGAAUUGGGUUUUUGUUUCUGUAAUUAUAGUGAUUGAUUUUCUUUGAACAAUAAGUUGGCUUGUGUUUUUUAUGUCUCUGAGUUGAGAGUUGAGAAGGACAGCUUUGAGUUGAGUAAAUUCAGUCUAUUUGGAAGCCGAUAAGGACAGAAACUUUAUUUAGUAUGAGAUGACCACGAGAGAGCCAAAUUUUACCACUACACAGUCCUUUGCAGUUGUAUUUUUUCAGUUGACUAGUUGAUGGGAACAUUUUAGGCACAUCCAUUUUGGGCAUUAUUUACAAAACCAAGUGUGAGAGUUCCACUAUAAUGUAACGCUGCGCUAAUGUUUAGGAGAUUGUAUAUAAGAGUCUCUAAAAUGAUCCAGUAGAAAAAAUAUUAUUUGCAAUUACGGAGUAGCAUGGUGGGUCUGUUUGGUUGCGACAGUCAACAGAGUAAAUUUUGGGGAAGCUCACUUUAAUAUGUUGUGUGUUUGUGCGUGUAAACUUAUGUUAAUUGUAUCUGAUGUAGAUUUUUCUAUUGUAGUUUGAGUCUGCGAAAUAAAUAAUUGUACGUCUGAUUUAUGUUUGAUUGAUACUGGGGUUUUUUGUAGCUAAGUCUGUCAUUCAAUCAGAGAAUGAGUGGUUCUUCUUUUCUCCACGGGGCAAAAAGUAUCCAAAUGGUUCACAGAGCAGAAGAGCAACUGAAUCUGGUUAUUGGAAAGCCACAGGCAAAGAGCGUAAUGUAAAGUCAAGUUCUAAUGUUAUCGGUACCAAGAGGACACUUGUGUUCCACAUCGGACGUGCACCGAAAGGUGAAAGGACUGAAUGGAUUAUGCAUGAAUAUUGCAUGCUGAAUGAUAAAUCACAGGUGAAUUUUUCAUUAGUCAAAAACUCAAAAUAAAAUCAGUUAGUUAUUUGAUUUUAACCACCCACAGAAAGUUGGUAUGCGUUGCACACAAGUCAUGAGUGUAUUACUUAUUUAUUUUCUGAACUGGUUGUAUCCGCAGGAUUCUAUUGUUGUUUGCCGUCUCAGGAAGAACAGUGAGUUCCGUCUGAAUGACACCACAAACCGAGGUUCCUCAAGUCAAAGUCCUUUAUCAGCUCAGCAUAAUAGUGAAAAUGUUGUAUCCGAAAUUGGUACUGAUCAAGGGGAGAAGGCAAUUGACUGCAACUCGAAGAAAUCUACUAGCAGUUAUGAUUCUCAUUCUAUUGAGCAAAUGGAUUCUGCAUCAGAUUCGUAUCAAAAACUAACACCGGAAGUGACACAAAUGGAAUCAUCUGAGCACCAAAAGGUAGGUUUGUUUGUAUCUCAGCAUGUUGCUCUUUCUUUUUAGUUUGUUUUCAUUAUAGUUUCUAGAUUCUUAUUUGGUAACAACUUACAAAGUCUAGUUUUAUUUUAAAUAAUAAUUAGAUGUACAUUACACAUAGUGACUAUCUAUGUAAUAUGUGGUUGAUGGACUUUGUAUUACUUCAGUAAGCAUGCAUAACGGAGCAAUGUCUCUGCUGAUAGGUUAAGUGCACAACAAAGGUGGCUCGGUCACGUCACACUUUCUUCCUAAGCUUGAACAUAAGUUCCUAUAUUGGUUUACAGCAUUAUAAGUAAGAACCAUGAUGUGUUUUAUUGAAUUGGUUCAUUAAUCCAUGUGGAGAUAUAGGUAAUAGGAGAAUACAGUUAAUGAAAUUCUAAAUGAUGUUAUUAUACCUUAGUUCUCAUGUCACUAUCUCCCUUGUUGAAUCCAUGUCAUUUGUGACUCUGCAGCGUUCAUAUGAUGAUGACUUCUUCGCUGAUAUACUUAAAGAUGAUAUAAUCAAGCUAGAUGAAUCUUCAGUCUCUGUUGCUGAUAACAUACUACCUGUGGUUGAAAAUAAUUCAGAAGCCCAACAAGAGUCGAUGCAAGCCGUUGUUUCUCAGGCCAUUCCAUUUCAAGGUACUGCAAAUCGAAGAAUCAGAUUAAGAAGGACAAGGUUAAGGAUUCAUUCACAAGCAUCAAUAGAACGUAUGACAUCGGGGCAGUCACCAAAAUGUUUAGCAAAUAAUCAGGUCUUGAUAUAUGUAUUUUUGUUUUUCUAGUAUUGCUGGUUCUGUUUCUGUCAAAUUUUUGUUUUUCUAAUAUUUCUGGGUCUGUUUCUUUUUAUGGUGGGAGGUUUCUGGCUAGCGAAAAACUUCAUAAAUGAGUGAAGUAAGUAUGUAAAGUUUUUCGACACAUAAUCACUGUAUAAAGUUUCUAUCACAAAAUGUAAAUAGUAGACUUCAUGUACAUGACCGGCUGUGGACUUUGUUGGAGCAUAAGAUUAUAAUUCCCAUGGAUUGUCUAUUGGAGUGACACUUGGGUUUUAAUUAUAAUUCUAUGUUUUGGAGUUUUCAGUCUUACUCUUCUCUCAAUGAAAUGCUUGAGGUUAAUUUUACGUGUUUCAGUGCAGCAGAUGUUUGCUAGAUGAUGCAUAUUCUCCACACUAAAUUUGAGGCCAUCGGUCCGCAGUAGUUGUCCAAAUCUCGUUCUGUCAGCUCCAAUCUUUAUAUUUAGGAGGUUCUGUCAACUCCAUUGGAUUGUAGACAUCCAACAAUUUUCAACAAAAUGCAGAAACAUAACAAACACUUGACACAAUGCCAAAAGCAGCUACAACCCAAAGAAUAGUAUGUCAAUGACCAAGAAAGUUACUGAUCACAGAAUGAGUGGCUACUUAAGUUCCUUGUAACAGGCAAGGAGGUAAACAUUUUAAGAGGGGUAGUAUUUGUGAAAUCGGAAAAAUUGCUUUCUGAGAUUAUAUUUUAACUUACGAUUUGGUUUUGGCGACAGUAUUCUCUAAUUUUAUUGUGUUUAGACAAUUAAAAGUACACUAUUGUUCACCUCAUUAAGAUGUACCUUUAGUAUGUUCAAUUACCUUUAAGCAUCAUUUGGUUCGUAAAAGGAAAGCAUUCAUUUGUCUUUCUCAAGAAAAGGGAAAGAUGAGGGAAAUUAAAUUUCUGAAGAACUUCGGAAUGUUGUUAAAAAGUUUAGGAUUAAUGAGAUAAACUAAGGUGUUUUGAGCAAUAUACGCAAAGGAAGUAGGAGGGUAAGUAGUUCCUUUACCCAAAGGCCAAUUUGGAGAACUACUUUCCACCAUAUUUUCUUUUUUGUUGUGAAAAGAAUUUUGAUAUCCCAAACUUAAGAAAUGAACAAUUUUUCAUUCCCGAUUCUUACUUUCCGUGAACCAAACAAGAUCUUAGAUGUAAAAUGGUCAAUCACUAGCUAAUUAAAUAAAAAAAUAAGAUUAAUUUUCUUAAAAAUAAUAUAUUUUCAUCGUUGUUACAUGCAUGUACGGAUGUUUGAUUAAUUACCGACCUUUUAAACAUUUUUUCUACUAUUAUACGAACUGACCUUGUAAACAUUGUUGAUAAUCAAGUGUAUGUUUAGUUUUGUUAGUACCGUUGAAAAUUUUACGAGAAUAGAUUCAUAGGACCAACAUGCAGUUGCACCAACAUGAAUAAACUAUGUUGUUUCAACAAUAACUCCAUGUUCCACAUGCUCCGCUGCAUAUCACCUUACUACUCACUGCACAAAUCUUGUUGUGUAGUGUAUUAGAUGUAUGCACCAUAAUUCAAUACUUCCCCUCAAGGUGGAGCAAGAAGAUAUCCAAGCUUGCAAAGAAUACUUUGAAACUGAACCGAAGUGAGGGACUUUGUAAACAUAACAGCUAACUGAUCUUCACUUCUGGUGUAGAGACUAGAGAGUUUCAAUGACUUGAGACUGAACUUGAUUUCCUAUAUAAUGAAAAUCUAAUUCAAUAUGCUUAGUGGAACACUGGAUUGGAGGCAAUAUGCAUGGAUCCGGAUUUUCUGCUUGGAUUUAAGUUGGUUGGAUUUGCUUGGAUGUCUUAUAACCAUUAGAUGGAGUAAAAAUGACAUAAGGAUGGCAUGACUAUCUUAGAUUGUACUCAAUCCAAUGGUUAGAAGUCAUCUCAGCAAAUCUAAGCAACAUAAAUCCAAGUAGAGAAGUCAAAUUCAAUAUGCAUAGCAGCUUGGUUAUCACAGUGUAACGACAUAGCUGUAUUAUGAGGGAAUCCUAGAUCACUAAGGAGACUUUUCAACCAAAUAAGUAAUAUAUUUAUUUUUAUGAGAAAAAACUGUGUUAGAUAGAGGUGCCUCAAGACCAAACCCUGAUUCCAAAAUCCUUUUUUCAAAAAUCCAAAUUUCGUGAUUCAUCAAUUUUCGAUGGCAACAGUUGCAUCUCUCAUAAGAGGAAUUAUUACAUGUUCCAGGCAUAUUGUUGAGUGGUGUUCCCGACCCAAUAGUUCUAGGACAUGUGUAUUUUUUUACACAUCACUCACCUGACUUAAAACGGUGUUACUGGUCUGUUAUCGGGGAAACAAGAAACUUCAAGAAAUCAGAUCCAUUCUUAUGAAGGAGAAGGAAGCUCAGGGAAACUCAGGUCGAUCUGCCCUCUUACCGUCUUACGUACCCAAGUAAAACAUAUUUCCACUAACAUAAGCUUCUAUGUUUGGUUUACAGAGAUUUGAGAGGAGAGAAAAAAUAGAUAUGAGUUUUCCUCUCUCCGCCACCGCCAAAUUCCGAGCACCACCGUGACCACCGGCUUCCAACGAAUCAGUUCCUGCCUCCGCGAUCAUCUGACGACAUCAAAAACUGACUCACGCUUCAAUAUGCAGGUACCCAAAAUUUCUCUGGGCACCCAAACCUUCUUCUUCGCAUACAAAAAGUAACAAAGGGAUAAUUGUCUUCUUUGUUAGGAGCUAUACUGAUUCUUCACCCACAUAUAUACAAGUCUGAUGACAUAAGCAUAAUCUCUUUGAACCCAAUCAAUAUUUCAAUCUUGGAACCCAAUUAAUAUUCCCUUUCACUACACAUCGCUUUUGAACCCAAAUCAAUUUCUUUGUUUUCUGUCUAUUUCGUUCAAGAGUGAAGAAGAAGAGUUGCUGCAUAACGCAGAUUGACGGAGUUAACAGGCUAAACCAUCCACGUAUCUUUUAUUUAAAUAAUUUUACACGUGUCCUAGAACUAUUGGGUUCGGAACACCACUCAGCAAUGUGCCGGGAACAGGUAAUAAUUCCUCCUCUCGUAGCCAACCCAGUUUUCUUGCGCAAUCCUCGCCUGAAAUUCAACGUAGCAAAACUGAGCGCUAGUAGCCUUCGUGCGUCUGUUUCUUUUUCUUCUUCUACUCCUAAAUUCAAUGUUGACGUGAAACUCAAAAGCUUCUACUCCACAGCAAUGAACAACCGGUACUGGUCAACCAUCACCACCGACUCAGGGAGGCAUGCUUCUAUGUGUCUAACACCUAAUGUUAUUAAACAACUUGGACGUGUCGGCGGUAAGUGGUCGACGGUGUACCUGUACGACCCUAGGUCAGCAAACACUAGCGACUCGCCUUUGGCCAAUGGUGGGUGCAUACAUCCUAAUUUAUCUUGUCAUCUCACUUUAUAUCUGCACUGUUUAUGUGCCAAUCUGGUUAAAGCCCUUGCUCUUGAUAUUCUUUGCAACUCCCAUGGCUCUGCAUGCGUAUUCCUCUCUACAGGGGCGGAACCAGGAUUUGGAUCUUGGGGGGUUCGGAUUUAAAACUAGAGUAUAGAGGAUUAUAAUGUAAUAUUUAGCAUGUAUUACAUACCUUAUUAAUUUAUAUAGGGUAAAACAAGUAAAUAGAUUAGACUUCAAUGCUAAAUCUAAACAACAUUUAUGCAUUUCUUUUUAUAAAUUGGAUGCAGUUAUUAUACAUUAAGUAACAUUUAGUUCUAAUUUUUUAUGCUAAAUUGUUGUUUUAUUGAUUACGGGGGUUCACUCAGUCAAUUAACACAGGAUUUCAUAAUCUCCAUUAGAUACAUGUGCUGAUUAUAGAAGGAUUGAUAAUUGUUGGCAGGGGUCCGGACCCCUGGGUAGUUCUACCCCUGGUCCUCUGGAGAAACAAGUGUCGUCGAUCUAUAUAUAUAUAUAUAUAUAUAUAUCCUUUCAGAUACGGAUAUCCGUAUUUAAUUAAAAGGUACGGAUUUCUUUAAUUGACAUACUUUNNNNNNNNNNNNNNNNNNNNNNNNNNNNNNNNNNNNNNNNNNNNNNNNNNNNNNNNNNNNNNNNNNNNNNNNNNNNNNNNNNNNNNNNNNNNNNNNNNNNNNNNNNNNNNNNNNNNNNNNNNNNNNNNNNNNNNNNNNNNNNNNNNNNNNNNNNNNNNNNNNNNNNNNNNNNNNNNNNNNNNNNNNNNNNNNNNNNNNNNNNNNNNNNNNNNNNNNNNNNNNNNNNNNNNNNNNNNNNNNNNNNNNNNNNNNNNNNNNNNNNNNNNNNNNNNNNNNNNNNNNNNNNNNNNNNNNNNNNNNNNNNNNNNNNNNNNNNNNNNNNNNNNNNNNNNNNNNNNNNNNNNNNNNNNNNNNNNNNNNNNNNNNNNNNNNNNNNNNNNNNNNNNNNNNNNNNNNNNNNNNNNNNNNNNNNNNNNNNNNNNNNNNNNNNNNNNNNNNNNNNNNNNNNNNNNNNNNNNNNNNNNNNNNNNNNNNNNNNNNNNNNNNNNNNNNNNNNNNNNNNNNNNNNNNNNNNNNNNNNNNNNNNNNNNNNNNNNNNNNNNNNNNNNNNNNNNNNNNNNNNNNNNNNNNNNNNNNNNNNNNNNNNNNNNNNNNNNNNNNNNNNNNNNNNNNNNNNNNNNNNNNNNNNNNNNNNNNNNNNNNNNNNNNNNNNNNNNNNNNNNNNNNNNNNNNNNNNNNNNNNNNNNNNNNNNNNNNNNNNNNNNNNNNNNNNNNNNNNNNNNNNNNNNNNNNNNNNNNNNNNNNNNNNNNNNNNNNNNNNNNNNNNNNNNNNNNNNNNNNNNNNNNNNNNNNNNNNNNNNNNNNNNNNNNNNNNNNNNNNNNNNNNNNNNNNNNNNNNNNNNNNNNNNNNNNNNNNNNNNNNNNNNNNNNNNNNNNNNNNNNNNNNNNNNNNNNNNNNNNNNNNNNNNNNNNNNNNNNNNNNNNNNNNNNNNNNNNNNNNNNNNNNNNNNNNNNNNNNNNNNNNNNNNNNNNNNNNNNNNNNNNNNNNNNNNNNNNNNNNNNNNNNNNNNNNNNNNNNNNNNNNNNNNNNNNNNNNNNNNNNNNNNNNNNNNNNNNNNNNNNNNNNNNNNNNNNNNNNNNNNNNNNNNNNNNNNNNNNNNNNNNNNNNNNNNNNNNNNNNNNNNNNNNNNNNNNNNNNNNNNNNNNNNNNNNNNNNNNNNNNNNNNNNNNNNNNNNNNNNNNNNNNNNNNNNNNNNNNNNNNNNNNNNNNNNNNNNNNNNNNNNNNNNNNNNNNNNNNNNNNNNNNNNNNNNNNNNNNNNNNNNNNNNNNNNNNNNNNNNNNNNNNNNNNNNNNNNNNNNNNNNNNNNNNNNNNNNNNNNNNNNNNNNNNNNNNNNNNNNNNNNNNNNNNNNNNNNNNNNNNNNNNNNNNNNNNNNNNNNNNNNNNNNNNNNNNNNNNNNNNNNNNNNNNNNNNNNNNNNNNNNNNNNNNNNNNNNNNNNNNNNNNNNNNNNNNNNNNNNNNNNNNNNNNNNNNNNNNNNNNNNNNNNNNNNNNNNNNNNNNNNNNNNNNNNNNNNNNNNNNNNNNNNNNNNNNNNNNNNNNNNNNNNNNNNNNNNNNNNNNNNNNNNNNNNNNNNNNNNNNNNNNNNNNNNNNNNNNNNNNNNNNNNNNNNNNNNNNNNNNNNNNNNNNNNNNNNNNNNNNNNNNNNNNNNNNNNNNNNNNNNNNNNNNNNNNNNNNNNNNNNNNNNNNNNNNNNNNNNNNNNNNNNCAAUCCUUCUAAAUAGCUCGAUAUCGACCUAUUUACUCAUAUAUCUACUCUCUUUUAUAGGUAUGUCUCUUUGAGAGAUCGGGUGUGUGACGACUUAGAAUUUUUUUUGAAAAUAAUAUUAAUAUCUAAAAUAGUAUAUAUAUAUAUAUAUUUAUAAACAUAUAUAUUUUCUUUUAAACUGUUGGUAUUUAGUGUUUUGUGUGUGGAUAUAUACAUAUAGUUUUAUAUAUAUGCUGAAAUUGUUUUCAUUGUUUUUAGACUUGUUUUUAUUUUCAUUUUAGUAGGAAAGUUCUUAGCCCAUAAACCAAAACCUUUACCCAAUAGUAAACCCAAGAUAUCUUAACCCAAGCCCAAACUUAGAGCACUUUUCAGGAAACAUGUUGUCUCAGAACGACGGACAUACCUCGACAUCCAUACGCAAAGCAUUGUCUCUCUUCUUCAUCAUUUUCUUCUCUCUCCAGAUUCUUCCCAAACUGAAACCUAAUCAACCCUACUCGAAACCUUGCUCGACCGACCUCAAACCCAGAAAAUAUCCUAGGAAAAUCUUAAAUAUUAGCAGCCGACCUUGCCAAGCAGGAGGUGUCGAAUUCUCAGAGCUCGAUCGAUGACUCCUUCAAGCUAUUUUGCAGGAGCUGGAACCCUAGGAGCCUAGAAGUGGCGGGUCUAGGAGCUAAACGGGUAAGUACUCAGUUGAACAAAUCGAUUUUUGCUUCUUGUGUUCAUAUCUUAAGGAUUAAGUUCCUAGACUCUAUAAAUAGCUGUGUUCAGUAUUUUGGAGAUAGGUCUUCUAGCAAUCCCCAUACUUAGAGUGAGGGAGAGAUACCUUGGUGUAGGAACUUAGGUGUGAUUCUAUUUUGGUUUGUUUGUGAAAUUAGAUUGAGAUCACUUUGAGACUUGUGUAUAAUUGUUUCUUUUAUUUGAAAAGUUGUAAUUGAGCAUUGGUUCUGAUUUUGUUGUUGUGAAAAGCUAUGUGUGGUAAGCAUGAUCAUUGAAUUCCUUGGUUAGCCAAAUCAGUUAUCUAAUGUAGAAAAUCAAGUUAUGCAGUGGUUGUUGUUGUUAGGAUCUCAGGUCUUGGAAACUUGCCUUAAAAUUUGAUAUAGACUUAUAUCAGCAAAUUCUUUUUUUUUUAAAAACAAAAACUGGAGCUAUAUCUGAAAUUCGAAAUUCCAUAAGUAAUUGUAGAAAAACCCUUUUUGUGUGAUUCCAGUUCCAGAUUGUUCUUUGGGAUGUCUAUUUCAAAUGUUGUGAAGAACCAUCUUUAAAUUCCCAGCCCAACUGUGUCGUUUUCAGUCUGAAAGUUUACUGGUCAGAAAAUCUUGCUGUCAGACUUCUGUUGUUUUAGUUGUACUCUUUGCUUUUAAUUUUUGUUGUUAUGUUAUGAAAUUAUGCUAAUAUAGAUAUCUGAUAUUGGUAUUCCUAUAUAUGUCUUUAAUUUCUAAAUUUUGAAAGUAGAAACCAAGGACUGGAGUUGUAUAAAGUUGCUUAAAAAUAUAGAAGUUAAGACUAUAGCAUGCUACUUUCUAUUGGUUGUCUUUGUGGUAAUUUAAGCUAGUCUUUUUAGUGCAAUAUUUGUGUUAUUUCUUCAUUCUGAAACAUUUUAGUGUCUAUAUUCAAUAAUCAGUAGUUUUUGAUACAUUUGAGUUCAUGUUUUACUUUCAAAUACUUUAAAUAGGCUUAUAGCAGGAAAUUCUGCAGAUCAGUAUUUAUGAGUUUUCGACCCAGUUGUCUCUUUACUAAUAUCUGUGUAUUUCAGUUGAGUAUUUGAAGUUUGUGUCUUCAUGAAAGUAGUAGUACACAUGUUAAACAUCAUUUAGGAGUUUGAAUUUCUUGAAAAGAAUUUCUGUAGAUUAAGUUAUGAAUUUUCGAAGUUGAAGGUCAGCUUUAAAUGGUUUCUGCAUUUGUUACUAUUUUACUAUUUAUUCGUUUUGAUUUCAAUGGUUUCCUUCAUUCAAACUUGUAUAGAUAUUGAGAUUAAAUCAUAAAGUUCCUAUAUGUGUCAUUAUUUUCUGAUAUUGAAGGUAGAAACCAUGAUUUUUGGGUUGCUUAAAGCUAGCCAUAAGAUUUAGAACUACUUUUACUUGUUGCUUCUUUAUUUUGCUGUUUGUGUGAUGCUUUAGUUCAGUCCUUUACACUGAAAGUUUUGUGUGAUUUCUUUUUGCUUUAACACCAAAAUGUCUAUAUUAAAUACCUAGAAGUUUUGUAUCACUUAGAGUUUCUGUUUUGCUUUUGAAAAUAAAGUUUAGGCACUUUUAGCAAAAUUUUCAGAAAAACCUGAAACUGAAGCUGAAUUUUGAAAAUUCAUAACUAAUUCAAGAAACAUCGUUUUAAGGUAAUUCCAACUCUCAGUGUUUCUUUACUGUGUCUACUAUAAGUCUUUAGAAGAACUCAAAGUCCAAUUCUAAGCAGUUUUGUACAGUUUUUGAAGUUAAGGUGACUGGUUCAGAAAGUUAGAUGGUGUUGCCGUGUAAUUAUGUGAAACUGUUUUGGUUUGCUAUUGUAUCUUCUGUUUAGCAUCCUAACUGAGUCUUAAUUUGAGUUCUAAGUACUUGAUUUCUUAAACUAAUGCUUGUAUCUUUUAUUAGGAACUUGCUUCAAGUGAUCGACAAAGGUAGGGGAAAAUUGGGGAGCCUCUAUGCUUGUUUAUAUGUUGUUUCUUUGGGAUUAUUUACUUGUGUGAAAUGCUUGUUUCUUUGUUGCCAAUCAUCUAUAGGUUUGUCUCGAUUUAUAAGGGUGAUGUUAUCAUCUAAGGUAUAUGAGGAAUGGUAGUGCUAUGCAUAAAGCACUUUGGGUAAAGAAGUUAGGAUUAAACUUUUGUGUAGUUGAGUCCUCGUCCUCAGAGGUACCAUAUCCCACGAUGCCCGUGUGAGUGCGUAAAAAUGAUGCAAUUAGUAUAGGUCAAAAGGGCGGGAUUGGCGAAAGAGGAAUGGACAAGAUGACUAGCAAAAGGGGAAUGUGAGAUUUGAGUGGGAGGUAGUUCAUAUAUUUGAGUAGCCUAAGUCAGUGGUAAUGUAAUAUCCCACAUUGGCCAAACGGAGAGGGGUUAUGUGCUGUAUAUGUACAUGCCCACCUCUAAUUUAACACGAGGCCUUUUGGUGGCUCAGCGGCUUCGGAGGGGAUGGGUACUCCGAGGUUAAGCAUGUUGAUGCUAGAACAAUCCCAGGAUGGGUGACCUACUGGGAAGCUGCUCCUGAGCUGCCGGAAACAAAACCGUGAGGGCCGGUGGGCCCAAAGCGGACAAUAUCGUGUUACGGCGGAAUGAGUCUUGGGGUGUGACAAAUGGUAUCAGAGCCACUCUGCCGUGUGGUGCGAGUGUGCCGACGAGGGCGUCGGACUCUCAAGGGGGUGGAUUGUAAUAUCCCACAUCGGCCAAACGGAGAGGGUUAUGUGCUGUAUAUGUACAUGCCCACCUCCAAUCUAACACGAGGCCUUUUGGUGGCUCAGCGGCUUCGGAGGGGAUGGGUACUCCGAGGUUAAGCAUGUUGAUGCUAGAGCAAUCCUAGGAUGGGUGACCUACUGGGAAACUGCUCCUGAGCUGUCGGAAACAAAACCGUGAGGGCCGGUGGGCCCAAAGCGGACAAUUUCGUGUUACGGCGGAAUGGGUCCUGGGAUGUGACAGGUAAAAUACAUGGUAUAGGACAUGUAGACUUAGUCUAUUCGGCUAUAUGAACUAUAUGGAAUUGAUAAUAGAUGUAUUCAUCCAUUUUAUUAAAGUUGUUCAUGUUCUCUUGUUUGAAGAGGUUUUUGCCUCCUACUGAGCUGUUUGUGCUCACCCCUUUAAAUAUUUUGCAGAUAAGAAAUAAGUAGUUUUAAGUUGGUUUCUUGCAAGGAUCUUUUAUCUACAUGUGAAAUAUGUGUAUUGUUGCUUUCCUUAGAAUAAGACGUAGACUUUAGUCUACCUAUGUAAUGUUACUUUAUGGAGUAACUUGAAAUAAAGAAUAAAUUUCAUUUUAUUGUUAAGUUGUUCUUUUCCAAUUUCUUUCAUAUUCUAAUUAUGAAAAAUCUAUUUCAUAGUUGGAAUAUGAGUUACACCUCAAAAAAAAAAAUAUAUAUAUAUAUAUUUUCCAAAAAUUGUGGUGUGACAGUGUGCCUCGCGGAUAGUGGAUCAACCCACACCAUUCUAAGGAACCGGCAACUAUUUCUUGAGUUAGGGCCCUGUAAAUCAUCUGUGACGACAAUGAUUGGAUCUUCUCUUGUGAUCCUCGGGCGUGGAACCGCUCAUUUCUUUCUGCCUUAUGGCACUAUGAUUCAUGUCACGGAUGCUCUUUAUGCCCCAAAAAGGAACCGAACCUUGUUGAGCUUUAAGGACAUUCGCCCUAAUGACUUUCACUUGGAGACUCAUUGUGAGGAUGGAAAAGAGUUCUUGUGUAUAACUUCUCAUGAUUACGGACGUAAACGUAUAUUGGAGAAAACUCAUGAGUCAAUCUAGUGGUCUUUACCUUACUACGAUUCGAAUUAUUAAAUCCCAUGUAGUCGCCAAACAGGAUCUUUGAAACUCUGACUCAUACAAGCUUUGGCAUGAUCGACUUGGUCAUCCCGGAAGGGACAUGAUGAUCUAAAUUCUGCGAAAUUCUCUUAGAUAUCCCUUUUUUCGAUCAAAACGAAAAUGUUUAGGAACUGAUGUCACAUUGAAUCAUAGUGAUGACGCCACAACUGCUCAUCACGGCCCACAUGGGACUUUGACAUCUCUCGGGCUCGGCACCAAUUUCCUGGCUGCCGCUCGGCCGACCCCUCAAGCAAUUGAGGUGCGCCAUUCUUCCCUUGAUCUGUCGUUGACUCUUUCAAACGCUCAUCGUUCAUUUUGCAAAGCUUGCUCUUUAGCGAAAGUAGUAUCGAGACCCUCUUGUGCUAAAGAUAACACCGAGAACAUUUCAUUCCUACAUCGUAUCCAAGGUGAUAUUUGUGGACCUAUCCACCCUGAAUGUGGACCAUUUCGAUAUUUUAUGGUUCUGGUGGAUUCUUCGACGCGUUGGACUCAUGUCGCACUCUUGUCCACACGAAAUGCUACAUUUCCAAAACUCCUAGCACAAAUUAUUAAACUUUGGGCUCACCACCUGAAUUAUCUGAUUAAGUCAAUUCGACUGGAUAACGCUGGAGAAUUUACAUCUUAGACUUUUGAUGACUAUUGCAUGUCUGUCGGGAUUGAAGUUGGGCAUCACGUACCCCAUGUUCACUCGCAAAACGGUCUCGCCGAAGUUACUAUCAAGUGGCUUCAGCUUAUUGCUCGAGCGUUAGUAAUGCGCACCAACCUCCCAAUUGCGUCAUGGGGCUAUGCAAUAUUACAUGCAGCCUUACUUAUUCGUUUUCGACCCACUGCCAAACAACCAUUUAGUGCGUACUAGUUGGUUAUUGGAUAUGAGCCUGACAUUUCGUAUUUACACAUCUUCAGUUGUUCGGUUUAUGUGCGAAUUAUGCCUCCACUGCGUUCUAAGAUGGGUCUUCAAAGACAAUUGGGUAUCUACGUUGGUUAUCAAUCUCUAACAAUUAUCUGAUACCUAGAGCCAUUAACAGGCGUUCUCUUUACCGCAAAGUUUGCGGAUUGUCACUUUGAUGAGACACUCUUCCCGUCGUUAGGGGGAGAUACGAACAAAAGUGUUCAUGUGGAACAACAGAAAUUGUCGUGGUUUGUCCCCACUGUGUCUCAUUAUGAUCCCCUCACCUCACAGACUGAAAGUGAAGUGAAACGUGUUCUUGACUCCAGAAAGUAGCAGAUAUGAUGUCUGACUCUUUCUUCGAGAUUGCGAAAGUGACAAGAUCAGAUAUACCAGCUGCAAAUGUUCCUGCUAGGCUCGAAAUCCCUAAAGAGUGCACGGUCAUCCUCGGGCACGGGACUGCAGCCGCCGGUGGUGCCGCCCACGUUGGGGGGAUAGAGGUCGUGGCUCCCCAAAGGAAAAGGGGGAAGCCACUUGGUUCGGUUGACACGCAUCCGAGAAUGAAACGGACCGACAAGGCACAAGUCAAUCCCUUGAUCAUCGAUGUUGAGAAUCCUUCUCACGAGAUCAUCUCUGAUUACAGUUAUGUCCACAAAUUGAUGUAAUUAGAAUCUAUGGGGGACACCUCAGGAUCAAUGUCAACAUCAGAGAACAUAAAGAUCUCCAUGUGUUAUGAUAACACUUAUGAAUUGAUGAACCGGUCAUCAACCCACGUCGAUGAUAUAUUUACUUAUUCCGUGGCUCACAAAAUCAUUGAGCACGAUGAUAUCGAACCAUGCUCUGUUGUAGAAUGCCAAGGCAGAGCGGAUUGGCCUAAAUGGAAAGAUGCAACUCAGGUAUAAUUAGAUUCUCUAGCAAAGACACAGGUCUUCAGCCGAGUAGUGCUAGCUCCGUCGAGUGUAUAGCUUGUUGGACAUAAAUGGGUCUUUGUUAGAAAGUGUAAUGAGAAGAAUGAAAUACUUCGGUAUAAGGCCCGCCUUGUGGCACAAGGUUUCUCACAACUCCCUGGGAUUGAUUACGAAGAGACUUACUCUCCAGUCAUGGACGUCAUAACUUUCCGCUACUUAGUCAGUUUGAUAAUGUCCGAAGAACUUGACAUGCAGCUCAUGGAUGUGGUUACGGCAUAUCUCUAUGGGGAUCUGGAUUCAGAGAGAGAGAUAUAUAUAUAUAUAUAUAUAUAUAUAUAGAAGUNNNNNNNNNNNNNNNNNNNNNNNNNNNNNNNNNNNNNNNNNNNNNNNNNNNNNNNNNNNNNNNNNNNNNNNNNNNNNNNNNNNNNNNNNNNNNNNNNNNNNNNNNNNNNNNNNNNNNNNUUACAACACUCACUUUACGGAUUAAAACAAUCCGAACGAAUGUGGUAUACUCGUGUAAGUGACCACUUGAUUAGGAAUGGAUAUAAGAACGAUGACUAUGCCCAUGCGUGUUCAUAAAGAAGACAAAUUCUGGAUUUGCAAUAGUGGUUGUCUAUGUCAAUGACAUGAACAUUAUCCGUACUCUUGAUGAAAUCAAAGAGACCGUGGCUUAUCUAAAAUCCGAGUUUGAGAUGAAAGAUUUUAGGAAGACUUGAUUUUGCCUAGGACUUGAACUAGAGCAUCGAGCCUGUGGAAUUCUUAUCCAGCAGUCUGCAUAUGUCCAAAAGAUGCUCAGGCGAUUUAAUAUGGACAAGAUGCACCCUGUUAGCACUCCCAUGAUUGGUUGAAGUUUGGAUAUAACUAAAGAUCCAUUCCAUCCGAAAGGGGACGACGAAGAGGGCUUGGGCGCAGAGGUUCCAUACCAUAGUGCAAUAGGCGCAUUAUUAUACUUAGCUCAAUGCAUUCGACCAGAUAUUGCCUUCUCAGUCAACUUGUUAGCUAGAUUUAGCUUAGCGCCAACCCAACAUCAUUGGACCGGAGUCAAGAACAUCUUUUGAUAUCUUAAGGGUACCAUUGACUUGGGAAUGUUAUUUCCCUACACUGAUUCAAGAAAGACAGAAGAUGGUCUUAUGCCCAUGAAAGUCACGCACCGAUCCACAAAGGGACCGGACCGCUGCCAUGAAUGCCGUCGGUACAACUGCUGGACACUGGUCCGACACCGUGCACGCCACUGCCGUCUUGUCCUAUGCCGAGACACCCAACAAUACGUUGGUGGGUUUCACCGACGCCGGAUAUUUAUCUGAUCCUCAUAAAGGACGUUCUCAAACUGGUUAUGUGUUCACUAUUGGGAAUACAGCGAUAUCUUAGAGGUCUACAAAGCAGACUCUAGUGGCGACAUCUUCAAAUCAUGCAGAGAUUAUUGAUUUACACGAAGCUGUUCGGGAAUGUGUUUGGUUGAGAUCAAUAAUUAAACACAUUAGAGGGACUUGUGGAUUAAAUUCUACAACCGAUAGACCUACAUACAUUUAUGAGGAUAAUGAUUGAGCAAAUGAAGUUAGGUUACAUCAAGGGUGAUAAUACAUAGCACCUAAGUUCUUCUACAACCAACAGCAACAGGCUUUUCUCAACAUUCAAGUGAACCAAGUUAGUUCUGAAGGAAACGCGGCAAGCUUAUUUACUAAGCCUUUGCCUAAGUCUACUUUUAAGAAACAUGUGAAGAGUAUAGGCAUGCGUCGGCUAUCAAGUCUCUCUGAAUAAUAUUCACAUCAGGGGGAGUAUCAUCUCAAUGAAGUAGAUUAGUGCAUUGCACUCGUUUUCUCCUACGAUCAAGGUUCAUUUUUUCUCCCACAAGGUUUUUGUUACUUGACGAGGCAACAUAUCAGUAUCAUCGACAUAGCAGCUGUCACAUCCCGACUCUAAAAUUUUUACCUUAUUUACUAGCUUGGUAUUAAUAAGAGUUUUACCGUCUUCGUCAAUUAGUUUAUGGUUUAAUUGGUCCCUAGAGAGGUUUUGGGGAAUGACUAUUUCGGUGGAAUUAUUCGUAGGAGAAAAAUGUGACGACGGUAAAAAUAGUAAAUUUUAGCUAGUAAAAGGUAAUUUUUAUUGGGGUAUUAUUUUGGGGUGUUAAUUUUGGAGUUGGGUUUGUAUUAGUGUGGGUAUUAAGUUGGACCGGGUUAGUGGAAAAGCCCACUCUCUCUCUUUCUCUUCUCUCCUUCUCCCCCGAGCUGUCCCCGACCCGCCGGAUUUCCUCCGUUCAGUUCGUCGUCGUCCGGUCGCCUGAGACCGCUGCUCUGGUCCCGAUCAGUCGACCUCCGACCCAGCUUCCUUCCUGGACCAGUGGCAGCCUCCCUCGCGCCGCCGUGGGAGAGUAAACGCAGCCGAAAGGUCCGACUGCCGUGGUAGUUCUCUCGUUGGAACUCACUCCUCCAGCCGCCACAGCCGGAGCUGCUUGGCUCAUUUGAAACCCCUCCUUCCGUGCAGCAACCCCUUCAAAAGUCUCACCCUCUCUUGAGCUAGGUAAGGAGAAAUGUGGAGUUGAAGUUCUAGGGUUUUUUAGAAUGUUUUCGUUCGAUUAGCCUAGUUAGGCUCAGAAUUGGACUUGGUGUUAGUUAGGAAAGUUGUAGAGUGUUGAGAGGAUGAAGCUGUUAAAAUUUGGUAGGCUUUGGGGUCACCGGAGUCGGCCGCCGGCCGCCGCUGCCAGGGGAGUAGACGGCGGCGGCGCCGCUGUUGGGGGGAUUUUCAUGGUUUUAAAUGUGUAGUAUUAAAGGGAGUGUAAUGAUGUGAAGUUUGAAAUUUUUGGAGGAGUUUUGAAUAGGUUUUGGAUUUUUGAAAGAUUGGUGAAUUUGGCGGUUAAUGGGGUAGAAUCCGACCAUUCGAUUUUCCUUAUUUUUGUUUUAGAAUGUUGAAAUAAAUGAAUUGAGGCUGUGGUUGGAGUUUGGCGUGAAUCCGAUAAGUUUAACCCUAGAAAGGGUAGUUGAUUAGGCGGAAGAGUUUUGGGUUAUAUAUUUAAGUAUUAUUUUUUUCUGAAAUUAAAGUUUGGUCCUAUGCAUGGUUAUUGUGCCAGGAUUCAAGGAGACCGCACUCAUGUUUAUUGUGCCAGGAUUCAAAGAGACCUCACUUAAGUGGCGAAUUGGAUAUCGUUGGGCUUAUACCUAAAGUUGUGAGUGGACGUUUUAAAUUAUAAGCAUGCAGUGAUUUCAUAUUAAAUGAAUGAUUUUAUUGAAUAUCAAUUUGUGGAAUUGUUUAUUUUCGCAAAGUUAUUUUUGGAAGUAAAUGCUCUUAUUUUAUUUGUUAACUUCGCUAUUUAGAAAGUUACCGAAAAUGUGAUUUUCGGUGGAGUCAUAUAUUUAUUGCUUCUUUUAUAAUUGGCAAUUUUCAUUAUUUUUGGAGAGUUACCGAAAAUGAAAUUUUCGGUGGAUAUGUAUAUGGAUGAUUAUGAGGAUAGUAUGUAUAUAAAUAAACCCUAGCUAGCUAUACGUGCUUUUCUGCCAUAAUGAAGUAAAAUUUCAUUAUGGUGUGACGUGAGCAUUAGAUGCAAUCGUCGUAGCCCUAUAUAAAUUUAGUAAUUUAUAUAGGGAAUAUACACGUAUAUAUACACUCGUGCUUUUCCACCAUAAUAAGGUAAAAUUUCAUUAUGGUGUGACGUGAGCGUUAGACGCAAGCGUAGUAGCCUUGUAUGAAUUUCUAUUUUUCUUAUUCCUUCAGAGAAUUCGUACAAGAAGUAUGAUGAGUGUAAAUACAUACAUACAUAUAUACAUAUAUAUAUAUAUAUAUAUAUUAGUUUAGCUUGAGAGGCUUUAUUUUUUUAAGUUUGGAGACUAGCCGGAGCUAGUCAUGUAAUUGCCAAUUGAUGAGUUGAGAGCUUUUAAGCUGUCGCAUGUAGCAUAUUUUUAUAGAAAUUUAAAUUGGGAAAACAUAAAUAUUUUUCAUUAAAUUCAUUUUUGUCCACUCACUCUAACAUUUUCAAACGUGUUUGUCCACUCACUCUAACAUUUUUGUCCACUCACUCUAACAUUUUCAAAUGUUUUCCCCUAAGCCCUUCGUUUUAAAAAUGCCCAGUGUGCAGGUUAGCAUAAUUGAGGUCGGGCGUACAUGGAGAAGAGGCAUAGUCAAUAGUAUAGCUUCUGCUUAUUUUUAUAUUUCUAGUUCAUUUUCUCUUAAAUAGAGUUGUUAUGAACUGUGGUUGUUGGUUGUAAGAUUUUCUAUUUAAAGUUAGUAAAUAAAUUGAGAGAUGUUGUGAUUUGGGGAAGCACGAAGGCUCCAGGAGUUUAAGGUUGGAUUUGGAUUUUUAGAAGUGUAUACAGGUAUUAUUAGAAAGGGUUGUCCAUUUUCAAGGGAGGUUAUGACGAAUUUUCGGUAAACUUUCCUUGGAAGUGGUCCUCGCAGGAUUUACUUCGGGUUUCAAGGUGAAAUUCGGGGUGGGUCUUGACAACAGCGCGCGGCACAAGGGGAGUGUUCUAGGAUAUUCUACAUCUUUUUAGAUAUUUCUUAUGUGUGCCUUGGCCUUAUGCCAACAGGAUAUGCAGUUAGACUACAUCUUUGUAUUCCUUAUCAUUACCAUAUUGGUAUUGUGUAAUACCAUAUAUAAAGGGCCCAUAUCAAUGAAUAAGACAUCUAUCUUUCACGAUUAUCUAUUCUCAAAUCUCUCUCACUAAACUAUAAAUAUGAUUUUGUUGGUGGAGAUAAAAUUCUCAAAAUUAGGGCUAGUAGGCAUUAUCCCUUCUUUUAAUUGUACUAACUCUUUUCUAGCUUGAUUGCAAAAUUUAGGUAGUAUGCAGAAUUCUCAAGAUGUUUUGCUCAUGUGUUCCUUAUUUGUUGCUCAAUUUUGAUACACAAGAAAUAAGUUGGUUUUUCCGUAACUGGUUCCCUUCUUGUCGAAGACUUUGCUUGGGGUUGUGGUAAUGGGAACUAACUGCUAUCAAGCUAAUUUAAGGCUUGUUUCGUUGAAGGUGCCUAAGUAUUUCCACAUCAAGUGGCAGCCUCUAAAUCUAUCUUUAUUAAACUAAAUUUUGCUAGAUCAGUAUAAUGUAGAUAGGAAUCCUAUUUGUUCUGUUGUCAUCAAAAUAAAAAAAGGCAAGAAAAACACAAAUUUGGUAGUGUAAAGGGCGUAAUUGUCAUUGCACUUAUUUUUAAUUCCUUUGUUUCGUUGAAUGUCAUUGACAUACUAAGAGCAAGUCCACUCCAAGGGGUUUUAAAGGCCCAAGCCUUCAGCCACCUAAGAUUAAAGACCCAGCUGAAAAAACCCAUCUCCACCCAUAAACUUUUUUUGACCCAGGCCUUCAUUGGGUCUUCACCUGGGUUAGACCUAUGACCCAGGCCUCCAUUUUUGAAGACUCGGGCCUUCGUCUCCAGCUCAGCCCAUUUUGUGUGGCCCAGCUGAUGUUGACCACGUGAAGUGCGCGCAAGUGGGGCGGGAUGACGCAAGAGCCGAGCGAGUAAAGGCUACUAGCAGGAAUUAGCCAAGCGCAUGUCGCGUUUUUGUCGCGACGUGGUUUGAAUUCAGAAGAAAGGGCCACGCGUCAGCAGUUUGCUCGUUGCUUUUCAUUUCAAAUCCAACGGUCAUUUGAUCUGGACCGUUGGUUGUGAUUAAACAAGCAGAUCAACGACAUUCAAUUAUACAAUGAAGUUACCGUUGUGUUUCCAACGGUUCAAAAUGAAUUUUUUUAUAUAAAAAAUCCCAACGGUAACUGAGUUAACCACUUAAAAAAAUAAUAAAAAUUCCUAUAUAUAUCACCAUUUAAUUUACAUCUCACACAACAAAAAAUUCCUAGUUCCAUAGAAAACAUUUUUCAUAUCUCUACCAUCUCACAAUUCCUCUCUUUCUUUGACCUCAAUAGAUAAUUUGUAGGAAAUGAUCCGCAAGUCGCAAGAAGAAGAUGAUGAAGAUGACUUGGCAACAAGCGCCGCAGUUAUUCCAGCAGUCGCUCAUCAUGAAGCUCAAAACCAACCUCCGCGGCUCGGUUCUCGUCCCGGUCGUCGUCCAAACCAACCUUGAGAAAGGGAGGACAGAGGCAAAGGUAUGCUUCAAGACUAUUUUGUUAAAUGUCAUAUUUUAAGUGACGAGGAAUUCCGAGUUUGAUAUAGGAUGAGUCAUUGGGUAUUCAACCGCAUACAUGAUGGCCUUUGCAACUACGAUUGAUAUUUUAUCUAAAAGUCAGAUGCUAUGAAGAAAGUCGGUCUACUUCCUGAGCAGAAGAUGACGUCUUCUUUGCGGAUGCUGGCGUACUGUGCUACGGCAGAUCAAUGUGCUGAGUAUUGUCGAAUGGCAAAGUCCACAUCUAUCGAGUGCCCAGCGAUUUACAAGAGGAAUCGUUGCUCUUUACUCAGCAGAGUAUCUUCGAGGUCCUACUCUGGCCGAUCUUAAAAGACUUCUUACUAAAAGUGAAAGACGAGGCUUUCUAGGGAUGAUUGGGAGCAUCGAUUGCAUGCACUGACAAUGGAAGAAUUGUCCAACCGCUUGGGCUGGUGAAUAUAGUGGGAGAAAGAAAAUCCCUACUUUAAUUCUUGAAGCGGUCGCAUCUUACGACGCUUGGAUAUGGCACGUCUUUUUUGGAAUGCCCAAGGCAUGCAACGACCUCAACGUCCUAGCAAAGUCACCGUUGUUUGACGAGCUUACUACCGGUCGAGCACCAAAGAUCCAAUUCCAAGUGAACAAUAGAGUUCAUAAAUUGGGUUACUAUCUCGCUUAUGGAAUAUAUCUUAGGUGGGCGACUUUCGUGAAGACCAUUCCAAACCCCACACGACCUAAGGAAAUUUACAUUUGCCAAGGCUUAAGAGGGAUACAGAAAAGAUGUGGAGAGGUGUUUUGGUAUUUUACAAGCACGCUUUGGUAUUGUUAGAGGAGCUGCUCGGGGGUGGGAUAAAGAGGAUCUCUGAUAUAUCAUGUUGGCUUAUAUUAUCUUACACAACAUGACAGUUGAGGACAAACGCCCUGAAGAUACCGAUGAGGAUUAAGAGUCUGACAAAGAAGAGGACAACAAUAUGAGGCCAAAGAUAACAGAAGUUUGGGAUGGAUCUACCGGGCAAGAUUUUGAGGAAGUUGGUAGAGAUGCUCAUACUUUUGAAGGUUUCAUGGGGCGGUACAAUGAAAUUAGGAAUCAGUAUGAUCACUCAAACCUUCAAGAAGAUCUUAUCGAGCAUUUAUGGGAAGUGCAAGGCAACAUGGAUAUAUAGAUUGUGGUUUUUUUUGUUUUAUGUUAUGUUUGUGUUAUUUUAAAUAAUUGUAUUUUAUUUUUUUCUAAGCUUGGUAUGUCAAUUUAAGUCAUGAAAUAAAUAUUUAAUUUCAAUAUGUCAUUUUGUUUAUUUAAUCAUAAUUUUAUUAAUAUAUAAAAUCAUUAUUCACAUUCAAAAUACCUAAUAUAAAAUUCAAUAAACAGUCACUGUCACGUGGCAACCCAGAAACAGAAAUCGUUGAUGGAAACUACAGCCCAAAAUCACUGUCACGUGAUAACUCAGACUUCACCUAUGACCCAGACAUUCCCAAUAAAGACCCAUAAGGUGAACUUAUUCUAAAGACUCCCUAACAGGGAAUGGAAGCUCUAGAAACGCCUGGUACUCUUUUUCCCCUUGUUUAUAAAAGAAAAGAAAAAAAAAAUAAUGUAUAUAUAUAUAUAUAAAUAUAUAAUCAAAUCAAAUAAUAAAAAAUGGGAAGAGAAACCAAAGCUCGGCAGUGCCCAAGUAAAAACGUAUGAAACAUUCCAACCUCUAAAACUGAAUGGUGGUGAAGUGCGAGCGAGAAGAGACCAAAACAUCAAACUACAAAAACAUGGCUGUGGCACCAGUCAAGGAGACUCCAGUCUUCGCCGAAGUUGACAUGGGCGACGACUCAUCCUCUCCCACCGUCCGCGCCACCAUCGUCCAAGCCUCCACCAUCUUCUACGACACUCCCGCCACUCUAGGUCCCUCUCCACCACCUCAUUCCCUUUCCCAUCAACAUUUUACUAUCUUUAAUAUGAACCAGUCUUGAUUGAGCUAUGUUUGUUGUAUGUGCAGAUAAGGCUGACAGAUUGCUGGCGGAAGCAGCUGGGUAUGGAUCGCAGCUGGUUGUGUUUCCUGAAGCAUUUGUGGGAGGGUAUCCUCGUGGCUCCAAUUUCGGGGUUGCCAUUGGGAACAGAACCGCUAAGGGGAAAGAAGAGUUCCGAAAGUAUCAUGCCGCUGCCAUUGAUGUACCUGGUAAUACUCCUUUGUGUUUUUGUUUUUCGAAUUGUCGGAUUAAUUGAAUGCUGCAUUGGAAUGCUUGUUUAAACUUGAGGGUUAACUACUGGUUGCUUUUUGUUCUUUAGUUUGACAUGAACAAACUUAUGUUCUAGUGGGAUUUGAUGUUAUUCCCUGUAUUCCAGGGUAUACAUUACAAGCUGGUCAAUGUUCAAUCGACAUCCUUAGAAGUACAUAGUCUUAGUAAAUUCUGGAAACAGAUGUGAUGCAAGAAGUAAAAUUUAUGUUUGCUAAGACCCUUGGGUAUCAUUUGAUACCUGUAGUCGUCCCUAUUACACAAGAAGAAUGUAUGUAGGUCCUAGUUUUUUUUUUUUUUUUUUUUUUCCAGUAAUUUCUUAUAUAUAAUAUGGCCAAUUGUUAAAGGUCAUUAGCUCAUUUGUGUGUGAGAUAUUCCCUUGGUUCCGCUCCACUACUCUUCUCUUUGACUCUGUAUGAGUUUUUCCAAAUGACUUAAGUCAUGUCUAUUUACGUGGUUCGGCUUAGCCUACAUCCACAGUGCAGCAGGGACAAAUUCACUAUCACACUACCAACUUUGCAGUUAACUGCAACAUAUGUUCUUAUUCUUUCUCGUGUAAACUGCCACAGUUACAACCUCUACUCUCCUAUUUCUUAGCAGCCUUUAAUAACUAUUGCAUAAUAGAGAGACAGAUAAAUAACGAGCCACAACACAAUAACCUCUGCAUGAAAAACCUGAUGUUUAGCUAAACAUAUAGCACUUUGACUAUCGCAGUGAAGCUCCACUUGACUUUGAUCUACGCCGAAUUCAGUAACGAGUCCAUGCAACCACAAGGCUUCUUUUACAGCUUCAGUAGCUGCCAUAUAUUCUGCCCUGUAGUGGAUAAGGCAAUAGUUGCUAGCAAAGUAGAUAUCCAACUGAUCGGUCCUUGUGCCAUGGUGAACAAAUAUCCUGCACUCCUGCAGUAGACCUGCUCUUAUCCAAACUACAGCAAAGUCAGAAUCAACAUACCCUGCAACAAAAUUUCUCAUUUCACUACUCUUCAUGGUUGCAUAUUCUCAUGUUGAAAUUAAAGUAGAUGAGAGCUUCAUAUAUCAUAAGUUCAUAGCAUGGAUGUGUCAGUUUCUAUUAAAUAAGAUCUUAUGGAUUGUUCUCUGUCCAAGCUUUAAUAGCAUAAAAAAAACAGCAUAUUGAUGUUUUGUGAACGUUGACAUUAUAAAUGGGUAUUCUGGAAGCUAAAGAGAUAAAAAAAACAUGAACCCAAAUAUUAGAUGACCAUAAAAGCUUAAUAUGUGGUUGAACUGUGAUAUGUUCUUUUAAAUCCUAUUAGUAUCCUAUCAAAGUUGUGUGGAUUCUGUAUGGAGUUCUAUCAAAUCUAUGAAUUCCACUGAAGACUGUCCAUGACAGAAACUGUACUGCACUCUUUGACAAUCCCAAAAAUGUGCAACUAACAUGCUUAAGCCAUAUGCCCUUGUUAGGUCUAGAUCAACAUAACUGAGUCGUGCCAACCAAUGCAGUGUGUACAAAUGUACCUAGAUCGGAAGGGUUGUUUAGUUUGCAGUAAUCCAUUUUACUCCUCGGGUUUUGACCAUUUCUAUGAUCAGAUAUGUUGAGUAAAAAGUUAUCCUAUUCCAAGUUUUUCAUGUUUUCUCCUUACAGAUGGAGUUCAAAUAUUCUCUGGAAUAUGCUAAUAAGUUUACUAUCUAUCAGGAAUAAAGACAAUGUGUGCUAAAACAAUUAUUAUCACAUUCUUGCCAAUCGUGAGGCUGUAGGGUAUUAGUUCUUUAUUUACUUUUUGUGAAGAAGCGGCAUAAAUAUGUAUUCAUAAUUUCUGUCAACUUAUGCAGGUCCUGAAGUUGACCGACUGGCAUCAAUGGCUGGAAAAUAUAAGGUCAUCCUGGUAAUGGGUGUGAUAGAGAAAGAAGGGUAUACACUAUAUUGUACUGUUCUGUUUUUUGAUUCUCAAGGUUGCUACCUGGGAAAGCACCGAAAAAUAAUGCCAACAGCAUUGGAGCGAAUCAUUUGGGGAUUUGGAGAUGGAUCCACAAUUCGUGUAUUUGAUACUCCAAUUGGAAAGAUAGGUGCUGCCAUUUGUUGGGAAAAUAAAAUGCCACUUUUAAGGACAGCAAUGUAUGCUAAAGGUUAGUCAUUUCGCUUGAAAAUGAAAAACUCUACGUAAUUAAACUGUAUCAACUCUUUUUGCUAUAUGUGUCAGUUUUCCCCUGAUUUGCUUAACUUUCUCCUUUCUUCUAGGUUUCGAAUUCAUAUUAUGAUUUAAUUCAGUGUAAUAAGAGUAAAGAAUAGCUUUUCUCCAGAAGAGAUGCUAAAAAGGCUUGUUCACUAUACUUCUGGACUUCGGGGUCAUAGCCAUGUUUGAGGCCUCGAAAUUUCCAUGCUUGCUGUGAGUUUGAAGUAUAUCAUCCGGUUUAGAUUAAGGGCUGUGAUUUUGGCUCUCCACCUUCAGCUACUUAGAAAUGAAGUGAAAGUGUUAAACUUUGCUGAAAAAUGGAGUGCCAUACCACCCUAGAUUAAUAGUUGAUUGGGGCAACUGGGUGGUUGAUAAAAUACUAUUUGGUAAGAUUGACUCAGCGUUUAAGUUUAUCUUUGAUAUCAGAAGUAUGUUACCUCUCAGAUACACUUUUUUAAAGAUGAAUUAUGUUCACCACGUGCCCUUUCCUUCAAUAUAUGUACUUGGCAUUACUGAGCAUUCAUUCUGAUUGGCAUUUUCAAUUUGACUGGAUACCGUUUGAAAGUUUUAAGGUUUCCACUUAAUAUGAACCUGACUUGCUAGCUAUUGUGGGUUGAAUAUAACUGUGCUUCUGGUUCCAUUUUUUGUACAGUUUUUUGUUUUGUUUUGAUGUAGAAUAAUUUUUUGCUUUGUAGGCAUUGAAAUAUAUUGUGCUCCCACAGCUGAUUCUAGGGAUCUAUGGCAAGCAUCAAUGACCCAUAUUGCUUUAGAAGGUGGGUGCUUUGUCUUAUCAGCUAACCAAUUCUGUCGAAGGAAAGACUAUCCCCCUCCGCCAGAGUAUAUAUUUUCAGGCAUGGAAGAGGAACUUACUCCUGAUUCUGUUGUCUGUGCUGGAGGCAGCGUCAUUAUAUCACCGUCAGGGACUAUACUUGCUGGGCCAAAUUAUGACGGGGAGGCACUCCUCACAGCAGAUCUUGGUAUGCCAUGUGUUUUUUUUUUUAUAUACUCUACUUUUGAUAAUCAGUUUUCUGUUUUAUGAAGAAAUUAAAAUAAAUAAGAGAUUUUAUAUUACAAAUUGGGUUAUUAUUUCUUCUAUUUUUCUGAUAAUCAGUUUUCUGUUUUAUGAAGAAAUUAAAAUAAAUAAGAGAUUUUAUAUUACAAAUUGGGUUAUUAAUUCUUCUAUUUUUCUGUUAUGGAGAGUGAAGCCUAAAACAAUAAAAAUAAACUAAGGAUCUCAUUGGUCCUAGGUACCCUGAUAAUAUCCCCAAAAAUAAAGUUGAAGGACAACUAGGAGGAGAGUCAAAAGACACAUCGAUCUGCGGUCCAAAGAGAGCCCAUAUUUAGCAAUUAUAUUAGCUGCAUAGUUUCCUCCCUGUAAGUUCGCACUCACUCUUGCAGCUAAAAGCUUGCACUCCUUGGGUACAAAUGGCAAGCUCUGGUCAGGCUAAAAGCCUUGCCCAUCAGCAGAAAAAGAGGGACGUAUGCUUAUAUAUCUGCAUAUCAGCUCAACAGCAGUAACUAAGUCAACAUCUAUGUCAACUCUGUUGUUUGUACAGUCCCCAUAAUUUAGCAUUUAAAAUCUGACCGCUUCCCAGUUAUAUGUCUAAGAUUCUUCUCUUAAAGUAGUAUUAGCAGGAAACUGAACCAUGUUUUCUAAUGACAGUGGAGUGUCUUUUUAAUGAUAGUGGAGUGUAUAUGUUUUCAGUACACGAAAUCAGUAUUACAAUAACAGUCUCAUCUAGGCCUCAUGCUUUUUGAAGUGCGAUUUUUGAAGUAAUAUGGUCUAACUGAUCCUAUGGCUCUCUGACCCUCUGUCAUACGCAAAACAUAAUCUGUAGUGAGUUUAAGUUGAGGUAGCUUUACAAGGACAAGUGUCUUUUCUUAGGUAGUUAUAUAUAUGACUUGCUCUAAGCCCAGAAUGAUCCCAUAAAACCACUUAAGAGGAACCUAAUAAAAAAUAGCAUAUUAUCAGACAAAAUUGCUUUAUCAUUAGAGACCAUAACAUAGUGAAUAUAACUUUUUUUUUUUAAUGCUCAUUAUAAUAUAACCAAAUACUAUAGUGCAUGGCUGUUCAUUUCUACAUGAACUUUCAAUAUGAAAGAAGAGUGAAAAAUCAUAAUGGAUCUCUGAUUUAGCUUUUUAUUUUUUGAAUUUUUUUUAUAUUUUUUAUAUUUGAUUCUUUGUUAUAAGAAUGGAUCUCUGAUUUUGUAACUGGCCAAAAUGGUUCUUAGAUCUUGGAGAUAUAGCAAGGGCGAAGUUUGAUUUCGAUGUGGUAGGACACUAUGCACGGCCUGAAGUGCUUAGCUUGAUUGUGAGGGACCAUCCAGCAAAUCCGGUUACUUUUACAUCAGCCUCAGCAAAGAACGAAGACUUGCACGAAUCAUGAUUGAAUCAAAAUGCAGGCUUGUUCACUCAUGAUCGUUUGUGGAUAUAUGAUUUCUGUGACUUUGUUGUAUCUUCUUUGAACACUGGUGUUGUCAUGCUUUGGAAUCUGAUCAAAAGUGAAUUGUACCCCAAAAUUGAUGGGAUUAUGUACUUCCUUAUUUUGUAUUUAAAUCAACUUUAGAGACCAGAUUUCUUGUUAUACUUGUAAUUUAAGUCCAUCUUGAAUAUCUUUCCUUAGUUAUAAUCCAUAUUGAAUAUCUAAAGAAAGGAUAUAUAGCAAUAUAUCCUCUGCUUUUUUAUAAGUUUGAGGACUAUUCGGCACUUGAUAUUGCUGGUAUGUAAACACAAUCAGUAACAACACUAAAUAAACUUCUCUGUCAAAAAUAAAUUUGGGACCUUCCUUGGUGUUUCUUUGCAAAAGGGCUAGACACCUGCAAUGCUCACAUGAAGGCUGUGGAUCCCGUGAAAAUUGAAGUGAUAGUUGCGUGCGCAUUACCCCAACCAAUACGGUUAAGGAGUCUAUUUUAUAGUUGGUUUUAGAGCUCAAGGAGUCUUAUUUCGUGUGCAUAUAGUUGGUUUCAGAGCCCUAGAACCAACAUUCUCAAAGAGUCUAUUUUAUGUUGAACCUUGGUGUAAUGCACACACAACUAUAUGCAUCACAUCCUUGAGCUAUAUGAAUCCUUGAGCUCUGGAACCAACAUUCUCCAACAACUAUAUGCAUUACCCCAACUAUAUAAUGCACACGCAACUAUAUUCAUCACCCCAUAAAUUGGGUGUGCAUUACCCCUGACCAAAAUGAUCUCCAUUAUUUAACGGUGUAGACUACUGUUAAAAUUUCUAGGGUAAUGCAUCACUCCGUAUGCAUCACCCUGAUGAAUCUCGCAUUUAGAAACAGGCCUCCUUUUGAUACGAAAUGUCUUAAUUACAAUCGAAUACUGACUCGCGAGCCAGAACCAAUUAUCCAUCUGGUUCCGGCAUCAAGAACAUGUUUCCUCCAUAUUAACCCCUUCUCCGAGUUGAGAUAAAGUAUUAUGUUCCAUAACAGUUCAGGAACUUCUAAGAGUUUUAACGUCAAUCCGGAAAAUAAAGAGAUAGUAAGGAAGAUGGCAUUUUCUUCUAUCUAAAACCCGAUACACCUAAGGAUUGUGAAGAACAAUAAAGCUGUUGAGGUGGAAUAAGGUGGCAAUUUGUAUUCUGAAAAUUGAUGAGAAGACGAAAAUGCAUUCCUACUUCGACUAGACACUUGAAUGGUCACUAUCUUAUGGAUUCCUAUAACAUGCUCAAUAAUAAAGACCCAAAAUUCUACAAAUAAAUUAUAUUGAAUUCAUAUAGCAUCGUAUAAAAAAUGUAUAUACAAUUGAUCUAUCUGUAACAUUGAAUAUGAUUGAUGCAAGCAAUUUAUGUUCUAGAAAGCUUUGAAGAAAGAAAACAAGAGAACCAUUGCUCACAGAAAUUAUAUAACACAAAAGACAUUUAUGUGAACUUGACCUUGGCAGUGUCAUCUAAUGUUAGCUAGGGCUUUGAAUCACUCUUUGGCAAGGCCGUAUGACUUCCUCUUUAAACGACUUCAUUCUCGCACAUCCUUUAUAGGCAAGCAUUGAUAACUGCAAGUUGUAGUGGCAAAGCUUUAAACUGGUUAUACUUUCGGAUCAGAUAAGAUAUGGUCUAUGAGACAUAUAGCAGAUCCGUUAGUCUUGAUUUCAGUUUCGCGUUCUUGUGUUUGAUGCUCGUCUACAUGUUCUUGUGUUUUCAAACCAAAUCCCCAAUCAAUGCCAGUGGAACUUUUGUUUAAGCAUAUGUUUUCCCAUUGUAUCUUUUCAGAGAGAGACCUUCUUCCUUUAAAUUGUUUAUCAACUGAACUCCUUUUUGAAUCAUCUUCAGCAUCGUCUCCACAAGCAUAACUCCACUUGUACAUCCUAUUACUAUUGUCCAUGUUUAGUUCAAUGGAAUGAAGAUCAUCACCUGAGUCUUCUUCAUCACACUCUUCUCUGUACGCAACUUCCAUUCCAUCACCGCCUUCCUUUAUGCUCUGAAUUGACCCAAAAUUUAUUUUCUUUAAGUAGGCCUCAAGUUCCUUGAUUCUUUUGAAGUCUGGAGAGUCACCACUGCCUUCACCCUUAUGGGAUCUCAGGUAGCCCUCUAGCUCAUUCUUCAGUUGCUCGACAGCUGCAUUUUUCUCUUCAAAAUGGUACUUCGCUUCGGAGAGCUUCAUCUGAACUCUCUCCUCACGCAACACAUCUGCUAGCUGAAGCAUUUCCCUCUCCUUCUCCACCUCUUCACGCACUUUUUCCGACUCUCUCUUUAGUUCUUCAACUUGGGCCCUGUCUUCCCCCAUACCUACAGCUAGCUCAUCACAAACUUGCUCAAAAAUCUCUUUUGCUCUCUUCUCCCUCUCAAGUUCUUUUAUUGCCUUUGACAAAGCUACAUUUUUAUCUUCCAGUUCUUUGCCUAGCUUUUUAUUCAACCGUUCUGUUUGUUUUCUCAGCUUCUUCUCUACUUCAAGUUCUUCUGCUAUGCAUGCUACAGCAGCACGUAUUUUCUCUCGCUCCUUGCUUUUCCAGGCUGCCUUUUCUUCUGCAAAAUGCUUCAUCAGGUACUCAAUUUCUUUGCAGUUUGACCUCUGUUCUUGGAUCAAUUGAUGGACCUGGAUACGCGCUCGAUCAAGUUCGGCUCGUAAGGCUGUGAGCAAGGGCAUAUUUAGAGAAUGCUGCUGUUCUUCAAGACCAGAAACACGAGUUAGAACUUUUACGAGCUCCUUGGAUGUAGAAAGGCCAUUGCUGACCUCCUUCAAACAGGUCUUGAUGCAUUUUCGAUCAGUUUUUCCAUAUGAAUGAUCUUUGACCUGCAUAUUGUGAUAUGAAAUCAACAUGUGCUUCUGCAAUCUCUGUAGCUUUAACAUAUCCAAAGUUACAAAACUAAUGCUGUCAAAACUCAAGAAAGAAAAAUUCUGGAUAAUAAUGGCCGUGUGCCUUGCAAUAUCAGAAAAUGUACAAAAUUGUUCCUUUGAAGAGCCAAGAAUGAGUCUUACCACAGCAAACAGCAAAGAAAAAAGUAAAAUGCUAAGAAUUUGUUUGGUCCAUACUACCGACUGUUUUAACAGUGAAAACGAUGAGAGUAUGUGAUAGACUGAUAGGUAUGAACAUUUGAAAAAUCUACUAGUCCUUGAAAAGGACAACUGAGAAAACCAUUUAUGAAUCUUUAUGAGAGAACUAUUAUCAAACAAAUCUCUGGGGACCAAUUCCUAUAAUUCACUGUCAACAUCUUGUCAUUUUUUAACAAAAAAGUCUCCCAACUGUUAUGUGAUAAAGUGAUUGGUGUACCUCAAUUAUACUUUGACUGCUAUGCGUCUCAAAUCCUCCCAAAUAGUGAUCACUCAGUUGAAUCCUCUGAGAAACAGCCGACAAUCUUCUCUGGUGUCCACCUCCAGAUCCAGUUUUCCUCUACAAAAUUACCAAAACCAAAAUAAUAAAAAGAAAAGUUACUACUGAUUGAACAUGAACAGAACUCUUUCAAGCUAGAGACAAUAAAUAGAGCUCUAAUCACCAAGAUAUGAAUAAUAGAGUUCGGUAGUGCAAUCUCAUUCAGCUAUUGAACAUGAAAUUUGUGUAAUGUGUUACUAUCUGAUUUGGAAAUCCAACAGAAAAAAAAAAACUAAAAUUUCAGACAUAUCAUGUAACAACUAAACUUUCAAUAAUCAACACGAAACAGAGUUCUUCCAGCUCAGAGAUGGCUUUUUGCGCUACGGUUUAACAGGAAAACACAAACAGAAAUUUAUCAAAAUUCUCAGAGCAAUGUCGAUUAUAGUAAGAUUAAAAAAAAGGCAGAAUAAUGUCACCUCUGAAAUAGGAGAAUAUGAUGGAUCUGGCAAUUUUGGCGGCAUUUGAGGAACACCCUCCUCCUCUCUCAUUUUGGACUCUUUACUUUUCAAAUCAUUAACUUCAUUGAUCUCCCACAUCGUAGCCGCGAGCUUCCUCGCUGAAACUGACAUGACUUCCUUCCCUUUCCCGUCGUCCUUGGAAUGCUGCUGAACAAGAAGACCCUUUUGCUUCUUCGGCAUGGUGGCCGGCGAUCUGGGGCUCGUUGAAGUCUUCCAAGUAGGCACCGGCGUACUCGACCCGGCACGCUUCCCGACGAGAAUGGCCCGCUUCAGUCUGUACCUACGCACCAAAGAAGAAGACGACGAAGACGAACAGCCUCGCUUCCUGAUCUUGCAUUGCCUCUCGAUCAAAUCCUGGCGGGUCUGCAAAGACAUAUGGGAGAGAAAUGGGUAUGUGGGUUUUGAUCUUGGAGGGCAAUGAUGGCGACCCAGUUGGGGGAUCUUCAAGAUUUUGAGGAAGAAAGAUGGAGAUGGUGGAAGUGCAUUUAUGAUGAUAAGAAGGGGGAGGAGGUCAGUUGGUAUUGCUUUUCAUAAGGCUAAGUUUGAUUUCAAAGUGUGAGCCUUGAAUUCAGUGAUUGGAAAAGUGUGGGAAGACUGUCAAAGAUUCUGGGCAGAGGAGCAGAAGAGAGGGUAUGGUCUUAAAGAAGAUCAAGGGGAAGCUUGGAAAGGUGUCAAAGGUUGCGUCUUUGUGAUAAAAAUGGAAGCUUUAAAAUCUUUAAUUUUGUUGAGAGGGAAAAUGGGGAAAGAGGGGAGAGAGUGAUUGUUUGGUUGUUGUGGGACUUGGAAACUUGGGUUCUUCUCUUCUCCUUCAUUUUCAUUCAUCCGUUGAUUCCAUUUCCCUAAAUUAAAAAAAGGAAGAAGAAAAACAAAGGAAAGAUGAUGUGGCAAACAUGUGAACCAAAAUGCAUUCUCUUCAAUCAGGGUGGUGCAUGUGUAGUUGGGAAGGAUGAAGGGCCACAAACAAUGACUAGGUUCUUAGCAUUUCCAUUUACAUUUGUCUCUUUCCUCUCUGUGCUGGAAUGUUCUUCUUUUCCUGCCUCAUUCCUCUUGGAUCUUGCAACUUCUGCUUACUUACAGACCUUCCUCAAUAGUUUUCUUUUUAUUUUAUUUAGUUUCUGGCCGGUACUUUUACCUUUUUCUUUUUGGGUGGUGAAAUUCACACAUUGUAAAUUGAAAUCUGUACAUCCUUUUUUCUUUUUUAAUAACUUAAAAUUUGUCUUUUAAUAGCAUAAAUUUUGUUUUUUUUAAAUGUGUUGACCAAAAAUUAAAAAAAAGUACGUACGUUUCAAUUUAAAGUGUGUGAAUCCGCAUUUUUUUUUUCUUCCUUUCAUAAACUCUGAAUCCAAAACAUUGAUCAAGAGACGAAAGACAUACAAUGUUGAUCUUUAAUAGCAGAGAUAGACUUAUGCCAGUUAUGUGUAGUCUAAGUAGUGGUUAGGGACUUAGGGUAGGUCUAGCAAAAGAUGUGACUUAGGAUAAGUCAACUUCUUUCAAGUUUUCAACUUUCUUUUAUGAUAGGUCUCGAUUCCUUCUUACCUAACAAAGAUAUUUAUAUAAUAGUUUUACCACUGUUACAGGAGCAAUAAUCGAGCUAGAGCUUAUCCCUGCAUAAGUGCAUAGUCUUUCGAAGAUGAAUUUACACAAUUGAUAAUUUUUUUUGUUAACCAAAUUCUAGUCUUCCACCGGUUAUGUUAUCGAUUAUAGACAUGUUCACUCACUUGACCUCCAUGCUCGAUAUGUCUUAUGUUCAAAGGCAGCGGCCUUGAGCAAAAACCAAUCACAACGCGGCUAAGAAAUAAAGUUGAUCAAUCUCCUCGACACUAUGUAUGAAAAAUAACGCUUGUUAUGAAGUUUUCUCAAUCGAUCGAAAAAUUGUAGAUUCUUGUGUCGAAUUGUAUAAUUGAAGAUGACCAAUGUAAAUAAACUCUUGUUACUUUAAUGAAAAGUUUCACGUGAGGUUAAUUGGCUCGGUUUGUUGUUUGUGACAAAAUUGUAUCGUUACUCUCAAGCUUGGGUAGCUCGUGUUGAGCGUAAAAUUUAGUUAGGGGUUGUGUCAUUUUAUCUCAUGGAUAUUGUUUUUGGUGACCGGCCCGUAACUAUGGAUCUUGGUAGGAAUGCGUGUUUUGGUGUAGGCAUCAUGACCAAUCAUUCUGAUGUUGUAAUUUCUUAGAUUAUUAAUGAAAUUCCCUUCUAUAAAUUAAAAAAGAAUAUGAAAAGCACGUGUUAAGAGAAAAUGUCAUAUAGCUUUUGUCGUACUCUCAUUAUGCAGGGUGACUGUAAUAGGACUUUUCAUGUUGACAGAAGGCAACGAGCUCACCUAAUGACUCCUUCAAUCUUGUGUCUAUGUUUUAACAUGGCGAACGUAAUAAGCAAAACCCAACAUUAAUCAUUUACUAAAAGUGGGUGACGAAUUUUGUUACGCUCAUUGUCAUGACAUAAAUUUACUGUAAAGUAAUAAAAUUUUGCAUUGCUAACUUAAAUAAACAAGGAAAAAUAAAAAGAUGAUUACAUCGUGUGUAAAUCUUCCAAUAUGCAAAGUAGGUCAAGUAGAAGAACAUCUUAUGAAAAGUAAGAUAAAAGUAGUCUCCAACAAAUCAUCAAAGCCAGUACACAAAAUUAAAGAAACUAAUUCAUAUAGUUUCAAACUUAAUCAUCGACAACAUCUUAUCAUCAAAGCCGGUACAGCUCACAAGAUCUCUCAAACAAUCAAACAAAGCCCCCAAGAGAAAGGUUCUUAAGAGAAAAAUCGACCAAGAGAGCAGCCAAGAAGGCGGGGCCCCAACCAACGGCUCAACAUGUUUUGGAAUUGUUGGAGUUUCCUCGCUGUAUUUGGAGCUUACCCGAAAAACAAAUCUUAUAGUAACACCCACAUAAUUGCUACUUCCAGGGGACCCCAAGACUGUGCCCCCAUAUGAUCCUGUCCUCUUUUUUCCAAUUGAAACAUGUCACGAAUGCUCUUGUUUGUGGCCCUUGGGAGCUUCCUGGUUCGAAUUUUGAAAAAUAUAAUCCAACUGAAGCUACAAUGGCAUAAGGUGUGUUGAGAUGGAUGGAGGCAGCAGGAGCAUGGAUGCUACAAUCAGAGAACCAUGUUAUUGAAAUGCCUAGCAAAACUAGCGGAAGGAAAUAAAACUGAAUAUAAGGGUAGGGUUCAUGACUUCAUGCACAUGCACCACUUGUGGUGGUGGAGAGGAGAACAGAAAAUCGAUGUCGGAGAUUCACCGUUGUAAAUAAGAUUAAUUAGGUUAUUAUUAUGCGUAUUCUCAAAAAAGAAAAAAAAAUUAUACCCAAUGGGUUAGUGUAGUGGAAACAUACUAGGCUGCAAGUGGGGAGAACGCUACAAGGACACUGUUUUCUCAAAAGUCGUCUCGGCAGAAAUGAGGCCGAGGAACUUUGGUACAAUCGUUCUUUCACUUUGCACGAGCGUGCCAACUCGCGACCUAAUGACCAAGUGAGCUUUUGAUUGAUGUUGUGUGCUUGAUCUGACUUCUUCAAAUGAUUGUAGAUUGAGGAAGGACCCUCUCAGCCGUUAGGAUCUAAUGCAUGUGUUGCAAGAACUUUCGGCUAGGCGUUAAUCCUUAUCGGGAUCCUCAAAUACGUUUACUUCUUGGGUGAACUCGAAUAUUCUGGUGAUAGGUGAGAGAUCUAUCGGGUUAAGAUACUCGCAAAUCACUGUGAACAUAAAGAUGAAGCGGACUCGAUUAUUGAAACGUUGUGAGAUGAUGUGUGUGUGAACAACGAAUCAUAUCGACCCAAUCAGGACUGGCCAAAAGAGAUCAAUGGAAGGGAGAUUCUACGUUACAACUACUCCUAGGUGCGAUUAAUAAAGUGCAUAUAAUGUAAAGACCAAGAAAAAUAAAGUGCUUGAAUGUAAAGAAACUGAAACUAAAACGAAUUUGAAAGCUGAAUUGAAAAGUAGAAUACAUAUGUGAAAAGAGAGAUAAGUUUGUGUGAAAGACUGAUUUGUUUGUGUGGUGCAGAACCUUUUACAAUGAGUUACCUAUACAUACAAGUUAGAAACCCUAGCUAGCUUUCUUCCGAUGUCAUGGAAUCACCGAGAGAUUCAAUUUCCCUUUUUAGUUGAUUCGUGCAUAAUUGCCCUGAUCUGAUUGAAAUCUAUGAUUCUCGCAGUUUCAAUUUGAUUGGUAUCUUUCUUAAUUUGUAGAGACUUCUAUCCGAAAUGAACUCUGAACCGUGAUUGUUGUUUAGGCUCGGCCAAUUACUCUUAGUUAUUUGUUUUGGCCCGUUUGCACAUUAGUCACUUCGAAAUGCUCUAAUGGAAUAACAAUAUGGGCUAGUGUUCUCACCUUAGCCAGGGGACCGAACAUCCAUACUCUCGGUCAGGUUCCCGAACACCCUUACUCACGGCUAAUUGUCGAACUCUUUCAUUCCCUCCCAGAUGGCCGAAAUGCUUUCACUCUCGGCUGUAUGACCAAAAUGAUUUACUCUCAGCCAAAUGGCUAACUAUUUGUAUCCUCGGCCCAAACGACUAACUAUUCUUCACUUUCAACCAAAUGACCGCAGAUACUCCAUUUUAUCUGAAGUCAUCAAACCGAUUUGGCUGUCAGGAACCACCCCGGAUUUCUCCCUGAAAUCAGGAGUAAACCCUGCGAGGUCCACCUCAAGGGAAAUUUUACCAAAAUUUCAAUAUAACCUCCCUUGAAAAUUGACAACCCUACCUGCCAAAUCCAAACAUACACUUCUAUAAUCAAAACAAACCUCGACACUUGGAGCCUCCCUGCUCCCAGCUCUACAUCAACACCCAAAACAUAACAUGUCGUAGCUAAUUUACAACAAUCUCAAAGGUCAUCAAAGCAAUUCUAACAAGGAAGGAAAACAUAGAUAAGAGAGAGCCAGCGAAAGCUGUGAUAUUGACUAUGCCUCAACUCCGUAUACGCCCGACCUCUUCUACGCUAACCUGCAAUCUAGGCAUUAGAAACCGAAGGGCUCCGGGAAAAGUAAUUGAAAAACGUUAGAGUGAGUGGACAAAAUAAAUUAAAUAAUUUAACAAAAACGUAAUUUGAAUAUUUUCCCACGUUUAAACUUUAAAACCUCAAUGCAUGCAACUUUGAUCAAACAUUCAACUUUAUAUCCAGAAUCACGUAAGAAGAGACAAACCAGCCCCACUGGUUAAUCAAAUACAUAACCGAGAAAGUAAAAAAAGGGGAAGAGAUAUAACCAUGUAAGAGGAGCCUCCCAAGCUCUAGUUGUCACAUCCCGGUUCUUAAAUUAAUUCGCGGUUACUUAUUUAGGUGUUACUUUGACCUUUUACCAUUUAGAGUAACCGUUUACUGUUAAAUGAUCCUAGAGUUGACUUUUUGUAGGAAAAUUAUUUCGAGAAAAUUUCUUUAAGGAAAUUGUAGAAGACGUUAUUACGAAUCCGUAGACAUGCUAUACUUUAAAAUCAAAAUUAGAAUGUAGAAGUUAUCAGGUAAAAAGGAGAGAGAGGGAUUUACUAUUUUCGGGUAGAAGAUUUCAAAGGAGACUUUCUGGUUUGGGAAACUAGUCAAAGCAGCCAACUCUUCUCUCUUUUCUCUUCCCCGGGCCUUUCUUCUUCCUUCUCCCUCUGCCAGCAAGUAUGCCCGCCACUGACUAUCGUCGUCCGGCCAAACUGAGCCACCGUUCCGGUCUCGUUAGGUCUAUCUCCUCCUUUAUCUUACUGAGUUCGUAAUCGGAUCUGCAACUCCACCAUGUGAGAGGAAACUCCUCCGAGAAGCCCGACUGUCCUCUCGCCGGAACUCUCUCCUCCGACCAUCAUAGUCGGAAAUCUUUGGCUCAUCUUGAAGGCCUUUCUUGGUGUAACAAUACCUCAAAAGGAAUCGAUCCCAUUCGUUCUAGGUAAGCAGGUUCGACGGUUUGAAUAUCUAGGGCUUGAAUUUGGGAUUUUUACUGUUUUAGUUCGAUUACCCUAUCUAGGCUUGGAAUUGGUGUUUGUGUUAGUUAUGAAAGUUGUGUAGAAUGUUGAGAGGAAAAUUAUGUUAAAUUUUGAUGAGCAUUAGAGGUGGCCAGAGAAGGGCUGGCCGACCGCCGCUGCCGCCUCUUUUGGGUAGUUUUUCAUGUUAUUAAAUCUGUUAUGUUGAGAGGAGUCUAAUGGUCUGAAGUUUGUAAUUUUUGGAGAAGUUUUGGGUAGGUUUGAGAUUUUUCAAAUAUUGCUGAACUUGGCGGUUAAUAGGGUAGAAUCCGGCCGUUAGAUUAGCAUUGUUUAAACUCUAGAAAGUUGCUUUAACGCUGUCGGUGCUUGUGGGGAAGUUCGGGCCUUAUUGUUUUAAGAAUGGAGAAGUUGGGCAAGGAUGAGUGUUGUAUAAGGCUCAUUUUUAUUCUUGCCUAUUUAUAUAAAUAUUAAUUUUUAGUUGGGGACUUAAUUAUAUAUUUUGAACAGGACGUGAGGAGGCUCGAGCUGAAGACAUCUCGGAUCGACGUCAAGCUUAGGCCUAAAUUUGUAAGUGGACUUUUGCUUUAAAUAAUAUGCGUGCAUUGUGUUAUUGUUGAACAUCUGGUUUUUGUUGGACAAUUGGAGCAUCUGAUGUCAUUUUUAAUUUGGCAGUUUUCUUUAUUAUGGAGAGUCACCGAAAAUAGGAUUUUCGGUGGUCAUAUAUAUAUAUAUAUAUAUUGUCACGCCCCAAUUUUCGAAAGAUAAAUUUCAAAAAUUUUGGCAUGAUAUAUCCUAAAAUAUUAAUAUCCCAAAACCUGUUUCAACAAAAAUCAAGGAAAAUAAACUCAAUGCGAAAUGUAAAUUUACACACAACUCCAAAUUGAGUUAAAUAUUACAUUUUCUUGUUUACAUAACUUGAGAACAAGAAAGGAAACGCUCACAUGAGUUUAAUAAUUCCUAUCCCCGUGUAUAUAAAAGAAUAUACAAAGACACACCCAAAACUCAACAAAAAACCCUGCCACUACGCCUCCAUCUCAACCCUGCUGAUCCUCACCUGCAGGUCCAACCCCUACACCAAGAAAUGGUGCACCGGGUUGUAAACAACACACCCGGUAAGCUAAAAAGCUCGUAUGAGUAAACUAAAAAAAACAACACAACAUUUAUCACAUCCAAUAUUCAUAAGAGAGAUUGGAUCAAUAAUUUCAAACCACACAUCAAACACAUUACCCAAGAGAUGUACCCAUGAGUCCCAGAUAUUUAAUAAAAUACCUCUCAUGACCUACCACAACACUAUGNNNNNNNNNNNNNNNNNNNNUCGGGCCAUCACUCCGAAGUAUUGAUUAUCACCAAAUAUGUAACCCUGGCUCUGAUACCAAACUGUCACGCCCCAAUUUUCGAAAGAUAAAUUUCAAAAAUUUUGGCAUGAUAUAUCCUAAAAUAUUAAUAUCCCAAAACCUGUUUCAACAAAAAUCAAGGAAAAUAAACUCAAUGCGAAAUGUAAAUUUACACACAACUCCAAAUUGAGUUAAAUAUUACAUUUUCUUGUUUACAUAACUUGAGAACAAGAAAGGAAACGCUCACAUGAGUUUAAUAAUUCCUAUCCCCGUGUAUAUAAAAGAAUAUACAAAGACACACCCAAAACUCAACAAAAAACCCUGCCACUACGCCUCCAUCUCAACCCUGCUGAUCCUCACCUGCAGGUCCAACCCCUACACCAAGAAAUGGUGCACCGGGUUGUAAACAACACACCCGGUAAGCUAAAAAGCUCGUAUGAGUAAACUAAAAAAAACAACACAACAUUUAUCACAUCCAAUAUUCAUAAGAGAGAUUGGAUCAAUAAUUUCAAACCACACAUCAAACACAUUACCCAAGAGAUGUACCCAUGAGUCCCAGAUAUUUAAUAAAAUACCUCUCAUGACCUACCACAACACUAUGUGUACCCAUGGGUCCCAGAUACCAUACAGUAUCUCCCAUGACCUACACUGACAGACGGACUAAAGCUCUAUUCCUAACCGUAACCAAUCACCCGGCCAAAGGCUUGGAACCCGGUUUGACUGUCUAAUAUCAAUACAAAAAUGAUAAAUAGCAUCUUAACCGCAACCAAUCACCCAAAAAGGGCUUGGAACCCGGUUUGGCUAUUUAUCCAACAAGCACAAUAAUUUUCACAACAUUAUCCACAACAACACAAGAUCACAAUUAUUAUUCUCAACAUCACAAUAUAAAGAAAACUUGUUUUUAUCUUACCUAUGAGCCGUUGGCGAUCAAGCUCAUGAAAUUUUAAAAACAAUUAAAAGCAUGAUAUUAAAACCAACAUCACCAUCAUUAUCAUUAUAUAACCAUAAUAUCCUUAGGUUCAAAAGUGAACCUUGGUGAGGUUUACUCACCUAAAUCUCCCGCUGCAAAUUCCACAACCGACCAAGGUAAACCAACUCAACUUCACAAAUCACCUAAAAAUAGCACAAUUAAAACCUUAGUAACUAAAAUACUAUAGGUUAACACAAUACCCUUAACUAACCCUUAAUUCAAGAGAUGACAACUUUCCAAAGUCGUCGAACUUAGAGACCCACAAAGGCUGCCUCUAAUCCUCCAUUCCUAACUCAAACCUCCAACAAACCUAAAAUCACACUUAACGUUCUAGCAUGCCAACAUUUCUUAAAAACUAGCCACACUACCACUCAACAAGCUCACAGCAGUAAGGACUACCUAACCACAGGAAACUAGGGCUGCAACUCAACCGGACGCGCCGCCACGCUCCGCCACAGGCGGCGGCGAGUGGGCCUCACGCGCCACCCCAAACUUCCGAAUUUGAGAAAACUCCCAACAGCAAAGUUGAAGCUUGAAGCAAGGGGAACAACUUUCAUACCUGAGACUUCGACCAAAAAUGGCCGGAACCGGCCGGAAACCGCCCCGAACAGUGACCAGAAAAUCAAAGGCAAAAUCUGCAAAACCGGCCUCAAAACCUUACAAACUUGCUUCAAUCCAUGCCUAAACACUACCAGGAGGAAGAGGGGAUCAAGACUCACCUAAACUUGGCCGAAAACGGCGUCGAAAUCGCCGGUUUUCCGGCGGGACAGCGGUAGCUCCGCCGCUUCGUGGCGGCUUCCAGGCGGCGGGACAGCUGGCGGAACUGCUCCAGAAAUGGAGAGGGCUGCUGUGGGAGUCGAAAGGGACCGGUGGCGUCCGGUUUGGUGGCCGGAUAAGGGAGAACUCGGCCGGAGAAAGUGAGAGUUCGGGAGAAGCUCGGGAGAGGAAGAGAGAGAAGAGAGAGAAGAGAGAAAAGAAAGAAAAGAAAGGGAAGAGAGAAAACAGAGACUGACUUUGUUUUUUUUUAGGGUUCCCAAAACAUCCCACACACAUUUUUCUACUUAUACUCUUUUCAAACCCAGAAACAAACUUCCUCUGAACAUAACUUCUUCAUACGACGUCCGUUUCAGGCGUGCCGCAUGUCUACGAACUCGUAUUGACAAACUCUACAACUUUCAUGAAGGAAGUUUUCGAAGAUAACUUACGGAAAAUAAAGUCAACUUUUGGCCUAUUAAAAGUCAAGGCAACUUUAAAUAAACUCCCGAACUUCAACUUCGCAUAAACCCAAGAAUUUUCAUGAAUAAUCCUUCAUUAAUUAAAGGGAUAAUACAAGGAAAAAUGAUAUGAAAAUCUAGGGUAUUACAAUCUACGUCCCUUAAAGGAAUUUCGCCCCGAAAUUCAAAGAUACUAACCCAAAAACAACUUGGGGUACAUAGCCCUCAUAUCCGACUCUAACUCCCAAGAUGCAUCACCCUCAUCAUGAUGACUCCAACACACCUUAACCAAAUCGACUUCCUUCCUUCGAAGCCUCUUGGUUGAUCUAUCUAAGAUUCGAACCGGUUCAACAACAAAGGUUGCAUCCGCAUUCACCUUGAUAGAACUAUAGUCAAUCACAUGUGAUGCAUCCGGAAUAUACUUCCUUAACAAGGACACAUGAAACACAUUGUGUACCCCGGACAUGAUAGGAGGUAAGGCAAGACGAUAAGCCAAAUCUNNNNNNNNNNNNNNNNNNNNCACAAUUAAAACCUUAGUAACUAAAUACUAUAGGUUAACACAAUACCCUUAACUAACCCUUAAUUCAAGAGAUGACAACUUUCCAAAGUCGUCGAACUUAGAGACCCACAAAGGCUGCCUCUAAUCCUCCAUUCCUAACUCAAACCUCCAACAAACCUAAAAUCACACUUAACGUUCUAGCAUGCCAACAUUUCUUAAAAACUAGCCACACUACCACUCAACAAGCUCACAGCAGUAAGGACUACCUAACCACAGGAAACUAGGGCUGCAACUCAACCGGACGCGCCGCCACAGGCGGCGGCGAGUGGGCCUCACGCGCCACCCCAAACUUCCGAAUUUGAGAAAACUCCCAACAGUAAAGUUGAAGCUUGAAGCAAGGGGAACAACUUUCAUACCUGAGACUUCGACCAAAAAUGGCCAGAACCGGCCGGAAACCGCCCCGAACAGUGACCAGAAAAUCAAAGGCAAAAUCUGCAAAACUGGCCUCAAAACCUUAAAAACUUGCUUCAAUCCAUGCCUAAACACUACCAGGAGGAAGAGGGGAUCAAGACUCACCUAAACUUGGCCGAAAACGGCGUCGAAAUCGCCGGUUUUCCGGCGGGACAACGGUAGCUCCGCCGCUUCGUGGCGGCUUCCAGGCGGCGGGACAGCCGGCGGAACUGCUCCAGAAAUGGAGAGGGCUGCUGUGGGAGUCGAAAGGGACCGGUGGCGUCCGGUUUGGUGGCCGGAUAAGGGAGAACUCGGCCGGAGAAAGUGAGAGUUCGGGAGAAGCUCGGGAGAGGAAGAGAGAGAAGAGAGAGAAGAGAGAAAAGAAAGAAAAGAAAGGGAAGAGAGAAAACAGAGACUGUACUUUUGUUUUUUUUUUAGGGUUCCCCAAAACAUCCCACACACAUUUUUCUACUUAUACUCUUUUCAAACCCGGAAACAAACUUCCUCUGAACAUAACUUCUUCAUACGAGGUCCGUUUCAGGCGUGCCGCAUGUCUACGAACUCGUAUUGACAAACUCUACAACUUUCAUGAAGGAAGUUUUCGAAGAUAACUUACGGAAAAUAAAGUCAACUUUUGGCCUAUUAAAAGUCAAGGCAACUUUAAAUAAACUCCCGAACUUCAACUUCGCAUAAACCCAAGAAUUUUCAUGAAUAAUCCUUCAUUAAUUAAAGGGAUAAUACAAGGAAAAAUGAUAUGAAAAUCUAGGGUAUUACAUAUAUAUAUAUAUAUAUUUAUGAGAAAAGUAUGUAUAUAAAUGCUAGCUACCCAUAUGUGCAUGUCCCCCAUAAUGGCAUAGCGAUUAGCUGCCAUUAUGGUGUGAUGUGAGCGUGAGACGCAAUCGUAGUAGCCAUAUAUGAAUGUUUUAAUUCAUAUAGGGGGUGGGCACGUAUAUACCCUCUGUCCACCUUAAUGGCGCAGCAAAUAACCGCCACCAAUAUGAUGUGACGUGAGCGUUGGACGCCAGCGCAGUAGCCCUAUAUGAAUUUCUUUAAAUCCAUAAAUUUAUAUAGGGGGUAUGGUUUAAAUCCAUACUUAUUUUUAAUAAAGCCUGAGAGGCUAAAUAUUUUUUUUUAAAUUGAAGACUAGCGGGGCUAGUCACGUAUUAUCAGUAUUUGUCAGUUUAUGAGUUAAAAGCUUUGACACUUGUGGCAGGCAUCAGCUUUUCUAUGAAAUUAAAUCGGGAAAGCAUAAAUAUGUUAUUUGUUUAUUUCUUUUAAAUUUAUUUUUGUCCACUCACUCUAACGUUUUCAAAUGUUUUCUCCAGGGCCCUUUGUUUUAAAAUGCCCUAUCUGCAGAGUUCGGGUCGGUACUAGUAGGAGGCGAGGCAUAGUUACCAACAGCACCACCAUUUUUCACCAAUAGGUUACAUGUUUAACCUAGGGAUGUGUUCGGUUUUGUUCAGUUCGGUUUUCAACUAAAACCGGAAACCAAACCGAAUAAAAAAUUCGGUUUGGUUUGAUAUGUUUUGAGACCUUGAACCAAAAACCAAACCAAACAGUGGUUCGGUUCAGUUUCGGUUUUUUUCGGUUUUUCUUCUUUUUUAAAAUAAUUUUUCUUAAAAUUUGUAUCCUUUUGGCUUAGUAAAAAUUUAUCGUACUUUAGGUCUUCUUUUUUUUCUUCCAUUACUUGUUUUUAUAAGCACAUAUGAUAUAUCAACAAAAUUUAUGACAAUGAUUCUCCAAAAAAAACCAACAAUCUAUAAACCAAAUAGAUACUUUAAAAG